GGAUGCAUGUAUUAGGCAGUAUGUGUGUAUGGAUGUAGGUAUUAGGCAGUAUGUGUGUAUGGAUGCAUGUAUUAGGCAGUAUGUGUGUAUGGAUGUAGGUAUUAGGCAGUAUGUGUGUAUGGAUGCAUGUAUUAGGCAGUAUGUGUGUAUGGAUGCAUGUAUUAGGCAGUAUGUGUGUAUGGAUGCAUGUAUUAGGCAGUAUGUGUGUAUGGAUGCAUGUAUUAGGCAGUAUGUGUGUAUGGAUGCAUGUAUUAGGCAGUAUGUGUGUAUGGAUGCAUGUAUUAGGCAGUAUGUGUGUAUGGAUGUAGGUAUUAGGCAGUAUGUGUGUAUGGAUGUAGGUAUUAGGCAGUAUGUGUGUAUGGAUGUAGGUUUAGGCAGUGUGUGUUUAUGGAUGUACGCAAUAAGCAGUAUGUGUGUAUGGAUGUAGCCAGUAUGUGUGUAUUAGACGGACCAAACCGGAAUCCCUAUGGCAAAAUUUAGGCCAUAAUAGCUGAUCUAGAAGAAUUCUCCAAUUCGGCUACAGUCACAGUUCAGCUAUUUUUGCUUAAACUUUGCAUUUUGGUUUUCAACUCACCUGCAAUUCACAAUUUAGUGAAUAAACCCCUGUGAGAUUGUAUUUGCUUUCACGAGGAGGCGGCAAAAUGGAUCUUUGCCUAGGGCAGCAGAAAUCCUUGCACCUGACCUGGGCACCACCAUCUGUAUAUUUCAGAUACAUAUUAACCACGUUUAGAUUUAGCUCUUUAAUUCCUUGGAACUGGGUUUGAGGUGUUCAAUAUCUUACCCUACAUUGGCGCAAACUGCAUAUUGAUUUUAAACAUUAGGAAGGUAUUCUAUGCGUGGCAUAGUGUACAUGCUUCAAUACACAUGAUGGGAAUCACAUUUUUAACACAGCAAUAUCACAAGAUAGAGCUCGUAUAGAGUUAUUUUAUCUCAUCAACCACAAAUCUGCUUAUCAUGUUUCUUGUUAUGCACAGUGAUUGUUUCUAUUUACCUCUAUUUUAUGCUUUUCUCUAUUCAGGAUCCAUAGAUGAUGACCUACCUGGCUAUUCUGAUCCAGGUCAAGUCACUCAGGACGAGGAACUUAUCAAUUUGUAAUGUGUUUACGGGCGUUUGAUGGGUUUUCUGUAUUUUGUUAUGCAUAUUCCAGAUCUGAUUUUCAGUCUAAAUAAAAUUACACUUUUGACAGAAAUAUGUGGUGGUGAAAAUAUGUUGCAUGAUGUUUUGUCUGUACCCCCAAAUCUGACUGAUUUAUGAGAAAUUGGAUUUAGUGCACUAAUGUGGUUUGCUGAAUACAAUUAUUACAAUGUAAUUAUAUUAACUUUAAAAUAAUGGAACCUUAGUUCUCUGUUGGCAGACUUGGCAUGUAGAGCUUCUGAUGUACUAAAUCAAGUAAUCCAUGGUUUUUUUUUGUUAUGGAUUUAUUAUUGACUGGAAACUUGUUGGGAUAUUGGGUACUUGUUAUUAUAGCUAUCAUGUUAACAUUAAAUUCCACGAGUUACUUAUGGAGACGCUGAACCAUCAGUGACAGGCUAUAGACACCAGAACUACAUUAAGUUGUUGUUCUAGUGACUAUAGUGUCCCUUUAAACAUUCUGCACUACCCCCAGUGUACAACUUAAUGCUGAUACUGGAGAUUUGUACUGUAACACCCUUGUCAUUUUCUAGUUGAACUUGAUAAGAUGAUGUAACAUACUUUCAACAUCUUUUAACAUUCUUUCCUAAUGCCUAAUUUCUUUGUUGGUAUUAAUAAACACCUUAGAGAGUUUGCAAGUGAUCUGCCAGUAAAGGACUUAACUACUAAACCUGUGUUUAGCAAGGAAAUCCUUUCUAACAGUUCUGAUGAACUAACUAAGGAGUUAUGCUGUUGAAUUGAUGUAAAAUGACAGGAUACAGAACUAUUCUAUCUUUGACAUGGUACACUACAUAUGUUGGGCUGCUUAUUUAUCUAUAUUUCUCAAAAUCCUUGGAGAACCUAGUGAAUAUGGGCAUUUUAGAAGGAAUUCUAACCACACAAGAGUGUUUUAAAUCUGAUGAAACACCCUUUUUCCUCUUCCAAAAUAGUGCAUAAGUUACUGGUGUAUACAUUAGUAUCACUGGGGAUGCCUCAUAAUGUCUGGUAUUGCAACCCUGCCCUAAGCAAAGUAAUUUUUAGAGUAGGUGGAUGAUCACCUUUAACCACUGGUAAGGGUUUUUUUUUUAUAGAUUUUCAUAAUGUCACUAUAUAUGUUCUCCAAGAAGACCAGAAGAAGUGGAUGAGAGAAUACAUGUGGGCUAUGGUUGAUGUUCUCUAUUCCUCUAUCCCUCAUCAUUAAGAUUGAGGAGGUUCAAUAGUACAAUAGUGCAAAAUUUACAGUGGUUUUACAGUCUGCCAUAUUUGCCAUCAUAAUUAUUUCCUUUUUUAUAAAUGAGUGGUACAGCCAUGGGGGUCAAAAUUUGCCCCGUUUGUGCCUAUUUGUACAUGGCAUCAUUGGAGGCAUAACAAAUCUUUAAGAAUGAGUUCAAACAUCAUAUUGAUUUUCUGAGAGGUACAGAGAUGCUCGAUGGAUGAAUUGAACAGAAAUCUCUUAAAUUUACUUCUCAGUUCAGAGAAAUUACUAAAAUUGUAUGCCAAUACCUUACCGACAUUAGGUAUGGAUGAAUUUUAUGGAACAGUGAUUAGAACUUGGGAAAAGUAAGCUUACUCUCUGUCACUUGGUAUACAGCAAAGAUAUCAAAUGAAAACAUGGCCUGCAUAAAUAUGAAGUUACCUUUUCUCUCACACAGCACCGUACUCCUUGCCGAUGCUUUUGAAUUCUGCGCUGGCUAGUGUGCUUGCGAAGAAAAAGACCACACUCUCUGAGGCCAUCUGAUGAAAAUAAUUUUACUCGAUUUUACAGGAAGGGUACCCUGCAAAGGAAACAUUGCAGUAACUACAGAUAUACAAUGUUUUCAGCUGCUGGGUUAAAAAAGGUGGCAUAUGGCACCCAGACCACUUCAUUCAGAUGAAGUGGUCUAGGUUUUUAGAGUGUGCCUUUAAUUUUUGUUAUGUACUCACAGUACGUGUGACAGAUCCUUGUGACUUUAUAAUAUAGGUCCAUAUGGCAUUAAACAUUACAUAUCCAAUUAAUAUUGUUACAUAUAAAUAUAGCAUUAUUAUGCCAAAUAUUAUUUUAAUUUAUAUAGUGUCAACAUAUUUGGCAGUACUACAUUGUAAGUAUCCCCUGGGGGCAUUGUUAGGUGGCAAAUAGGUGGCUUCAGCCCAAGGGUAAGUUUUAUGGCAUCUCCUGUAUAUAUUGACUUAAGACCCUCCUAAAUCCACUGCAUGAAAACCCUGCACCCACAGCAAUAACCCCACACUGUGCUGUAUAACUCAAACUAUGAUGCAUUAAUGUGUCACUGUCACAAAUUUUACAACUGUGGUUAUUUCUCUGUCAGUAUUCCAGGAGACUUGGGGCUAACAAUGAAAUGGAGUCAAUAUUAGACCCCUUUCUGGCUCCAGCUCCCUGUCCCCAGCAGCACCACCCCUCUUCCCCACAUUAUGUUCUACAUGUCCAUGGAAGUGUAAUUAGGACAAUCAUCAGUAAUGUGUUAGAUCUUACUGAUCUUCAUUUAAUAUUGUUCUGAACUCUUAUUAUUUUCAGGCAGUAUUCCACAUUUCUCCCAAAUCACCGACUGCUGAGAGUCUACAUGCCGAGGAUAAGACUCAUAAUCAGCAUUAGCAAAUUCUCUCAGUGGCAGCCAGCCUUUUGGCUAUAAAUGGAUACACAGUGCUAAGUUGUAGGUAUUUACCCAGCACGUGAUAUCAGACCCUGCUCUCAAUGGUGUCUCUCAGUGGGCAACAAUGAAGAGAACUCAGUAGUACUCCACAAUCUUUGCAGUCCAUACCCAAAACCACAAAGACCAAAGUUGGCUGAACUCAACAUAUUUUUGGGGUGGAAACAUUAAAAUGUUUGAUUCAUAAUAUAUGUGCCACAUUAAAAUGUAUAAUUUAUUGAAAUAAAUCAUCCUCUAUAAACUGCUGGCAUCUGCGUAUGAUUACAUGAUGUGAUUGGUAAAGGAGAAUGUGUCACGGUACAGACAAAUCUGAUUUUAAAGAGCAUAUUAUUCCAUCUAUGCAUUGGCAUUCAAUUACUAUUUGGCAGAGCCAUCAUUCCGCCUCGUGCCAUACUAGGAUUUGGUGCAAUGAUUGGCUGAGAGCACGCAGCUGAUGAUCUCAGCCAAUCACUGCUUACUACCCCUGGUAUGGCGUAAAGAGAACUGUAGCUCCACCUCUGAUGUUUCACUAUUGGAGGCCAAUCUUCAGUUUGCCAGGGACUGAGAAUCUCCACUAAUCGGUGAGUUUACUAAACCAUUUAGUGGUUAUGCAGGACCCGAGAGCCAAGGACUCCAGGCAUCAUAACCAAUUCAAUUCACGGAAGUGGUUGUGCUUUCUACAGUGAUCUAUUAAAUUCCCUGUUGGAUUGUAUUCACUGUACAAUAAACUGUCAAAAUUAGCAACUAAGCUGCAACUAUAGUUUUGGUGGGUUGUAUAACCAGACGGGGAUAGCUCGUUCCUAAUACUCCAGCUGCAGUAUUUGCAAUAUUUAUUGAAACCAGAAUUUUAAUUCCUAGCAGUGCCACAUUCAUCUUUGGAAGGUCUAAACUGGUACCAUUAAGUUUGGAUAUCAUAGCAGCCAUAAUCCAGUGUAUACAUAUAUAUAUUUGUGUCCGGGAUAUUAUUAAGCCAAAUAAUUAAAAAUGUUAGUAAUUUGAUAAGAACAAAAGACGGUUGAGGUGUGCCGAAACAGACGAGAGGUUAGACCUGCAAUAAAGAGGGCCCACCUGGAUAUAUUAAUAUGAAUAAUAAAGGGUGAGGUGAACUUACAAAAUAAAUUAAAUGUUUCUGAUUAAAUUGAUAUUCUUAUUAUAGAGAAGUGAUGGACCCUGCUCCUGAGAGCUGGUGUUUGGUUGGAAUUAGUUCACACAGAUGAUACCAACAGGCGGGGAAGUCUGGAAAGGGCUAUUGAUUUUGUGAGGCAGCUAAGGGUUACCUGUUGGAUGAAGAAUUCAGGAAAAGGUUGAACCAGCAGUGCUGCCCAGGUGUGAUAAUUUACUGAUUGGAAGGGGUGGAGCCAGGAAAGGGAAUGGUUGGAUGGGGCAUUCAAGAAAGGGUUAACAGUUGGAUGGAUCACCCAGGAGAAGGUUAACUGUGUGGUAGCUGCCCAGGUGUUAUUGAUUGCUAAUUGGAUGGGGGUGGGGCCAUAAAAGGUUAAUGAUUUGGUGGGGAAGCUAAGAAAGGGUUAAUGGUUUGGCGGCUCAGCCAGGAAAAGGUUAAUGUGUUACUCAGGUGUUAUUGAUUGCUAAUUGGAAGGGGGUGGAGCCCUAGAUCUAUAAAUUCGAUCACCUGGGGGUGGGUGGGUAUGAGGUGGAGGAUGGAGGAUAGUCCCCUUGUUUCCAUCAUUCUUUCUCUGUGUGUUUGCAGGAGAGGCUCUCCCCAAUGUGUCUGGGCUUCCAGUAAGAAGAUUUUAUAAUAGAUUUAAUGUCUGAUGGAAUGUUUAACUGCCUGUGUGCCGGAACUUAGUGAUAUUAACUGUCUGUGUGCCGGAGGUUAUUAGUAUUAACCCUCUGUGUGCUAUAACUUAAUAUUGUGUGCCAAAGCUAAAUAUAAUUAACUGUGUGUGGGCCAUAGCUUAAUAGUAUUGUUUGUUUGGUGCCCAGAACGAAUAAUAUUUAUUGCCUUCAUGCUGGAGCUAUGUAAUACUAACUGUUUGUGUUGUGGAAGUCAAUUAUUUAACCCCUUAAGGACACAUGACGGAAAUAUUCCAUCAUGAUUGCCUUUUUUAUUUCAGAAGUGUUGUCCUUAAGGGGUUAUUUAUCUUCUCUGUGCUUCAUUUUGAGUCCCCACAUUUUAUAUGAAUUUUAUUACACUUCUUAUUUAUACAUCUAUCUCAGAAGUGAAUGUGCAGAUAUUUUAAAGCUUUUGAUUCAGUUUCUGCUUGUACUACACAUGACAAUAUUCAACUAACAAUAGAUACAAUAUUGUAUGUAAGAAUGCUGUAGUUAGAGCUAACAAAUGUAACUAUUCAAUAGGGACACAAAUGUAACUAUUCAAUAGGGACACAAAUGGACACUUUAGGCCAUACCAAUUCAUACCAGCAGUGGGCGCUGCAAGUGGUCAACUGCCAAUUGCAGCACAGAGGUGAUGGGUUGCUGGGCAUUAACGAAGGUUUAACACACUGGACAGCACUAGAGGACUCCAGGCACUGUAACCCCUUCAAUGAGAUAAAGCAGUUACAGUGUCCCUUUAAUCACAAACAUUCCAUAGAGCUGAGAGGGGUGGUAAGAUGGAUACAGGUAGAGUUGAGCUAAGGAAGAAAGAUUGACAGGAUAUGUGUAUACUUAAUAAUGCCACCGUGUCCCUCCUGCUCUAAAUCAAAGGCGUUUGUCUUUAAUUUUAACAGAAUGUCUUCUUAAUCACAGAAACACAAACCACCUAAUCAAAACCCGGUAGGAGUAAAAUGUGGAGUGUCGUCACAAAUGGCAAGAUUGUCAGAUGAAUGUUUGUUUAUAGAAAUAAAAUUACGUAAUGUGGGAUGAUUAUGUAUUCUCUAUAUCCAAAAUAUAAUUACUUUCUAUUGUUUUAAAACUCUUCUUAUCUUAUUUUUUUACAGCCAUUUCCCUUCACAUAUUUCUUGGGGAUUAAAUUUGGGAGAUAUGAUGAGCCGCAUGACAUGGCAAUAACAGAAGGCGGCAGGACAGAGGUGCCGAGCCCGUAUCACCAGAUCCAGGACACUUGGGAAGGUUGUUAUAGCACAUUUCUGCCUACAAGAUUGAGUAAUUAUGCAGAUCCUAAUUGUCCGUACCAGGCCAUUAAUCCAGCACUAGGCGUAACCGCGGUGACAAUAUAUUAAAUACUUUACACAUGGGUGGAGGGUUCAACCCACACUUCUGAAAGAUAUCAGAUGUACAGCUAACGUGAUAUUUUCAAACCGUUCUUUUCUUACAGAGUGAAGAAUUCAGACGUAUUCUCUUUUUAAUGAUUUGAAUCCACUAUCAACACUUACCGUUCACUGGCGGCAAUUUUCCUCGUAGAUCAUCUGUCCGAGACCAAGAACUGGAAGCCAAUCAUCUUCUAGAAUUUACUGCUGAAACUGCAUGGUAUGAACUGCGUAUCCCAUCAACCACUGAGACCAAAACCAUAGCAGGUGGCAAACUAGUUCAUAGAGGGGUUAGAUGCCGGGCCUGGAGGUUCUUAUUUUUCAUCAGAAUAGUCGUUUUUUGUUUUUCUUUUUAAAAUGUUAUCCCCAUAUAAUGGUGUUUUUGAAAUGCUCUGGUAAGUAGGUGGCGAAAAUUAAUGACCCCUGCAAUGUUGUCAUAUUAGGGGACACUCCAAACACCUAAAGCACUUUAGCUUGCUGAAGUGCUUUAUGUGAAGUGUGUCCACUUUUUCUUUUUACAAAAAGUGUUGAGUUCAACAGAAUUUGGUACUUGCUAUUGAUUAAUACCGACUGUCAAACAGACAACUGCCCAGAGCACGUGCCUUGAUCUGCAGAAGUCUGUGAUUGGACAGCUACAGUCUGGGCGGGGUUAGAAGGUGGGAGCUUGCGAGAGCUACAGCUUUUACAAGCUGUUUUUAGAUAAACCUCCAAUGAAGACAAGCAUAAUUAAAUGCAUGCAUGUUUUACUGGGGCUAUAUAGACCAAAUAGAUUUGUUUUGAGUUUGGGCCCUGUAAUGUCCCUUUAAGUGAAGCAUAAAAAAGUUAAUGCUGAAUUAUCACUAGUGGUAUUGUUGUUUACAUGCCCAAACUGGCUGUCCAUACAGAAUCUAUAAGGCACUACUGACAAAAUGUCCACACUCAGGAGGUAUUUUGUUGUAGAUAUAUGACCUCUUUCUUACCUCCCACUGCAUUAAUCACCUCAGUAAUUGCAUCAACAGAGUUUUACUAGGGUAAGGGAAUGCGUAGUAAUCACUGAGAUAACUGGAACUUCUGCUUUAAGGAAAGACACAGCUGUGAAAUGUAAAAAGUUGGUGGGCUAAGUCAAGACUGAUAAGCGGCCUAGGAGCAUCCUGACAACAACUUGCUUUUAUAUUUUAUUUUUCUGUGGAGAUAGUGACUUGAAGUCUUAACACAUAAACCUAAGUAACUGUGAUACAGUGGAGUGUUUUUAUUUUUUUAUUUAUUUUUUUGUAUCCCCAACGAAUUAUAUUUAUUAAAGAUUGCAUUUCAAAGAGAUGUUUUGGUUUAUUUUAUUUAGCACAGUCCUACUGUCUAUAAAUGUAUGUUUAUCAUCCUCUGUAAUAUGCUAAUCUGGUUGGAGAUUGUAAAUGGUUAGGAAAUGUCUUUUUUAGCUACCUUGAUGGUGCUAUAAAUACAGAUUGAAAUCCUCUGUACGUUCGAUCUACUGCAGGUCUAAUUCCCAAAACUUUACGAACGAUGAUGCAAGGUGAGGGAAAACGAUGGGUGGCCAGUAGGGAAUAUCUUAAAUAAGGAAAUGGCUUGUCUCCUUAAAAGGAAGACUGAUAUCUCAGGCACUUACCACAUUCGUUGUCAGGAAUUCAUAAUAUUGUUCAAAUUGUAGGCCAAAAUAGCCACGUGGGGAAAAGACCAAGCCCAGAAAUUUGAAAACCAUUUUUGACUAUUCACUCUACAAUAAUUGUAUUAUACGAUAUAUCAUAUGAUGCUAUUCUCUGACAACAGAUAGAAAAAUAGCCCAAACUCUGUCAACAAAAUGGACCAAAAAAAGUUUAAGUAGAUGUAAGAUAUGUGCACUUUCACCAUUAUGGUACUCUACAGAAAUGGCCAAAAUAGUAAAAAUAAAAUAAAUAAAAAAAUUGGCAUUUAGUAAUUAUAAAAAACAAAAAAGUGAGGAAGACAGAUCUACAAGAUUAGACAGAAAGAGGCUACGCAAGUUAUAAGAGCCCCCCAAUAUCACACAGAGGAGAGAAUAGCACAGUCAGUAAAACAGGAGGAUAAAACAUUUUUAGAUACAUAAAUUAGAAAAGAAAAGUAAAACAAGGAUUAGUUAGAUUAAAAACAAAAGAAGGAAGCAUGUAGAAGAGGAUAAAGGUCUAGCUGACUGCCUUAUUGGAUAUUUCUGUUCAGUAUUUACAGAUGGAAAGGGACCUUAGUUAGGAAACAGGACAAAUGAGUCAUUUAUUACAUGUGAGUUUACAGAGGAAGAGGUUCUAUUUCCACUGUCAAAGAAAAGACAAAUAAGUCAAUGGGGCCUGAUAGAAUACACCCAAAGUUAUUAAAAGAACUUAGUGUUGCACUAGCAAAACCAUUUACGGGUUUAUUUAACCAAUCAUUGUUAACCGGAGUAGUCCCAGACGAUUGGAAAUUAGCGAAUGUUGUGCCCAUUUACAAGAAAGGUAAUAGGGAGGAGUCGGGCAACUAUAGGCCAGUAAGCCUUACUUCAGUAGUGGGGAAAGUGAUGGAAACCAUGUUAAAGGAUAGGAUUGUUGAACAUCUAAGAUCAAAUGGAUUACAAGAUCAGAGACAACAUGGGUUUACUUCAGGGAGAUCAUGCCAAACUAAUCUUGCUGAUUAGUUUGGUAACUAAAAUAAUAGAUCAGGGUGGUGAGUAGACAUUGCUUACCUAAAUUUCAGCAAGGCUUUUGACACUGUUCCACACAGAAGUCUCAUCAAUAAACUGCAAUCUUUAAGUUUGGAUUCCAAUAUCGUUGAAUGGGUUAGGCAGUGGCUGAACAGAGUGUUGCAGUCAAUGAAGUAUAUUCGAAGCAAAGUCUAGUUACCAGUGGGGUACCUCAGGGAUCUAUACUUGGACCCAUUCUCUUUAAUAUUUUUAUUAGUGAUAUUGCAGAAGGUCUUGAUGGUAAGAUAUGUAUUUUUGCUGAUACUAAAAUUUGCAACAGGGUUGAUGUUCCAGGAGGUUAAGCCAAAUGGGAAAUUUAUUAUUUAGGUAAACUAGAAAAAUGGUCAGAAUUGUGGCAACUGACAUUUAAUGUGGAUAAGUGCAAGAUAAUGCAUCCUGGGCAUAAAAACCCAAAGGCAGAGUAUAGAAUAUUUGAUACCCUAUCUAAUUAUUUUAGAUGGCUUAAGGUAGGCAGACAAUGUAAUAGAGCAGGAAAUGCUAGCAGAAUGCUUGGUGGUAUGGGGAGAGGUAUUAGCAGUAGAAAGAGGGAAGUGCUCAUGCCAUUGUAGAGAACACUGGGACCUCAUUUGGAGUAUUGUAUGCAGUACCGGAGACCGUAUCUCAAGAAGGAUAUUGAUACUUAAGAGAGGGUUCAGAGAAGGGCUACUAAACUGGUUCAUAGAUUGCAGGAUAAAACUUAUCAUGUAUAGCUUGGAAGAAAGACUGGGGGGGAUAUGAUAGAAACAUUUAAAUCAACGCCAUAAAGGAGGAGACUAUAUUUAAAAGAAGAAAAACUACCACAACAAGAGGACAGUCUUAAAUUAGAGGGACAAAGGUUUAAAAAUAAUAUCCGGAAGUAUUACUUUACUGAGAGAGUAGUGGAUGCAUGGAAUAGCCUUCCAGCUGAAGUGGUAGAGGUUAACACAGUAAAUGAGUUUAAGCAUGCGUGGGAUAGGCAUAAGGCUAUCCUAACUAUAAGAUAAGGCCAGAGACUAAUGAAAGUAUUUCAAAAAUUGGGCAGAAUAGAUGGGCCGAAUCGUUAUCUGCAGUCACAUUCUAUGUUUCAAUACAUUAGCCUUUGCAGGUUACUUUUCAAGGCCACUGUGUUUUAGUGAAAUAUGCAACCAACUCACCUCUGUGCUUAUCUACCCCUUGCACUCCAAAGUCACUGUUUUAACCUUCGGUCCCACCUGAAAAAAAGAGCAUGGCUGUAAAGGAUUAGCACCCAGGAAUACACAGAUCCGUUUUAGAAUUUGCAAUUCCCUCCCUUGUACAUCAAAGAACAAUAGACUAAUAAUUGGUGCACAAAAAAAGUAACUGUAUAGGUAAGUUUGUUUUCUUCUUUAUUCUCUUUAUCUUGUUGUGUAUGAGUUGCACUUUAAAUCAUUGUUGUCCAAGUGGUGUAAAUACCUUUAUUUUAUUACUUAUUUCUCCCGUUUUCUGACAGCUCCUCUGCAACCUUGUCAUUUUCCCUUUCCAUAUUAACUGGCUUCCUGUCCUCAAGCUUGACUGAGAGCCCAUAAGAAUAUGACCUUGCUUGUUACAUAUUGAUCUCCACUAUAUUAUCAUAUCUGAUGUUUUACAGUUAUUUAAGAAAUAUUGAUGGUAGUACAGUAUUCAUUUGCAUUUAUUUUUGUGUAUUUAAGAAAUUACGUUAAUCAUUUUGCACUUUUUUUGCACAUCAAUUAUUAGUUUGGUGUAUGUAUAUAUAAUUUUAUUUUUGCACAGGUUAUUUCUAUAUAGAAACAUUAGCAGUAAAAAAUGCACUAUUGGCACUUUGUGUAAAACACUAUAUUUGGUUAUUUAACUUUUUGUCAUAUCUUGCACUUUACAUUUUGCACUACAUGUUUUUAGAUUUCAUCAUAGAGAAAUAGCACGACAGCAAGUCCACAACCAAUUAACAGAUUUAGACAUGGAGGUUACUAGGUUAUAGUCCUUGAUAUUCUAUCUACAUUGAAUUCUUGGGUAACGAGCAUCAUUGAUGUAAUUUGUAGUAGAAACAAUUCUUUUGGUGGCUAACUGUAAAAAUAUAAUGCAUUUGGAUCAAAGUAUCAGUCAACACAGGUGGGACAAGAACUAAAGCGCAGCACAUUUACUUGUGUCCCUCUGCAAAAAUUCCAUAGUUCCAUAUUAAACAUGUGAAGGGUGCCCACUAUCACCAUUCGCAUUAAAAUUUACUAAGAUCAAUGUUUUUGACCAUUAGUUGAGCACAUCUACAUCUUUCAAACUGUCUAUUAAACUGAAAAUAGUUUACAGGUCGACCUUAUAAACAACAAAGUUCUAAAGACCAAAUCAUGAUGAAGUUUGAACAAUAAUGAUCUCAGUAGGUUAUGAAAUGACACCCUCCAUGCACAAUUUACAGUUUCUGUAACUGGAGCAUAACUGAUACAGGUGUGUUUUGCUUUAUUUCUUAGCUAGCUUAGAUAUGCAGGUGAAUGGGAAGUUACACCAGUGUUAACUGUUAUUCCAUAGUAUUAUCACUCACUAGAUAGGAUGCUUGUCUGGAUCUCGUCAUAACAACGUUGAUCUUUUAACCAACAUUCAAGAAGGGGAGCAUUUGGGAAAUAGUGAUCACAAUAUGGUAACUUUUGAAAAACUCAAAAAAGCAAAAGCAAGUGGGGUAUACUAAAACAUAUAAUUUAAAAAAAGACAAUCUCAAUAAGAUUAGUGCAGCUCUACCACAUAUCUACUGGCAUAAACUCUUUAGUGAUAAACACUGAGGAUAAAUGGAAACUAUUCAAACAAAUAUUAGAAAGGUACAUUUUCUCAGUAUGUACCAUUGGGUAAUAAAUAUAAAAGAAACAAAUUAAAACCAAUGUACAUCAAUUCUAAAAAAACAAAACAAAAUGAAAGUGUAGGUACACUGGAAACAGAGUUGGGUUUAUUAGCUAAUGAAGACCAGGAAAAAGCAGAAAUUGUAAAUAACAAUUUUUAUUCAGUAUAUAUUAAUGAGGAUCCUAUGGCAAGAGAUAUGCAAAUGAUUGCUGCAAAAAACUUGUGAUUGGAUAACUCGAGACAAGGUGCUACAGCUAUUAAAUAAAAUUAAUGUAAAUAAAGCUCUGGGGCCUGACGGUAUUCACCCACGAGUACUUAAGGAGCUAAGUGGGGAAAUAAGUGAACCUCUAUUUAAUUUUUCAAGAUUCUUUUGUUUCAGGUGUUGUACCGGAGGAUUGGAGGAAGGCAGAUGUUGUUCCUAUAUUUACAAAGGGUUCAAAAUCCUUGCCUGGAAAUUAUAGACCUGUGAGCUUAACUUCUGUAACUGGGAAAAUAUUUGAACAGCUAUUAAAGGAUAAUAUUCAGGAAUUCAUUGGGAAGAACUUUAUUAGCGAUAAUCAGCAGGGUUUUGGGUAGAACAUUGGCUUAAGGAUAGAGUACAACAAGUUGUAAUUAAUGGUAAAAAUUUUUAGGCUGGACAAAAGUGGUAAGUGGUAUCCCUCAGGGUUCUGUUUUGGGACCACUUCUAUUUAACAUAUUUAUAAAUGAUCUUGAAAUAGGCAUUGAAAACCAUGUUUUAGUGUUUGCAGAUGACACAAAACUUUGUAAAGUAAUAAAAUGUGAGCAGGAUAUUGCUUUGCUGCAGAGGGAUUUGGAUAGUUUGGGGGACUGGGCACUAAAAUGGCAGAUAAAAUUUAACGUAGAGAAAUGCAAAGUUAUGCACUUCGGGGUUAAGAAUGCACAAGCAACUUACACACUAAAUGGUAGUGAAUUAGGGAUAACCACACACGAGAAUAACCACACAUGAGAAGGAUUUGGGAAUUGUUAUAGACAACAAAUUAGGCAGCAAUAUGCAAUGUCAAUCUGCAGUUGCUAAGGCCAGUAAGGUUUUGUCAUGUAUACAUAGGGGCAUAAAUUCUCGGGAUGAAAAUAUAAUUUUGCCUCUUUAUAAAUCGCUGGUAAGACCGCACCUUGAAUAUGCUGUGCAAUUUUGGGCGCCUGUUCUAAAGAAAGAUAUCAUGGCACUAGACGAGCUACAAAAUUGAUAAAAGGAAUGGAGCAUUUUAGUUAUGAAGAAAGGUUAAAAAAAUGAAAUCUGUUUAGUUUGGAAAAACAGCGCCUGAGAGGGGAUGAGAUAACUUUAUACAAAUAUAUUCGGGGCCAGUACAAACCCUUAUCUGGAAAUCUAUUCAUAAACAGGGCUAUACAUAGGACACAAGGUCACACAUUUAGGCUGGAAGAAAGGAGAUUUCAUCUAAGGCAAAGAAAAGUUUUUUUUUACAGUAAGAGCAAUAAGGAUAUGGAAUUAUCUGCCUGAAGAGGUGGUUUUGUCAGAGUCACUAUAGAGGUUUAAACUGCAAUUGGAUAAAUACUUACAAAAACACAACAUACAGGAAUAUAAUUUCUAAUUAGUGGGGUAAUAGCUGCUUGAUCCAAGGAGACAUCUGACUGCUAUUUUGGGGUCAAGAAGGAAUUUUUUCCUAGUUUGUGGCAAAAUUGGAAGCGCUUCAGACUGGGUUUUUUGCCUUCUUUUGGAACAGCAACAACAUUUGUGAGGAAGGCUGGACUUUUCAGCUAUGGAACUAUGUAACUUAAUGCUGCCAGACUGUCAGUACUUCUAUUUCUACUAGAUUGUUAGAUUACGGCCCCCCAGAUGUUGUUGGACUACAGUUCCCAAAAUCCCUGCAAUAGACAGGCAGAGAAACUAUUAAUAGUCCCAAAAAAAUAUUUAGGGUGCCAACUCCAACCCUAUUCUAGAGCUAACCCACAGCAAGAGGCUGAAAAACAGAGAACAAUUAAAUGGGAAACUGUGUUUAAAAAUGACACCCUCUUUUAAUGUAGGUGUUCGAUAAUGCGUUAAAAAAUAUGCUCUUACAUCAAAUUACAUCUUAGAACAAAUAGAAUGAUUUUCAGUUGACAGAAAUAAAAUUAAAAUACUGGCGGUUGCAAGACAUUGUUGUAAUGUGCGUUCGGAUUAAUAAUUGGAUUAUUUGAAAAGUAAGUCUAAGUUAUUUUCAAAAACAAAAUCACACUGAAAUAGCGCUUCGCUCCUAGAACAAAUCUCAAUUGACAGAAAUGAAAUUUGUGUUCCAUUUUACAAACAGCAGGCUCUGCAAGACUUAAUACUGCAAAUAUAACUUUCUUGCACAUUACAAAUAUUAAACAAAUUUAUUUUAACUCUUACAAAAAAGUUCAGUUCACAGAAAUGAAACUUGAGUUUUACAGUGAAAAUGGGAGAGGUUGCAAGACACACCCAGAUUCAACAUUCCUCAAUAUAUGAACGUUGUUAAAAUUAAAAUAAUGCCCAUUUAAAUUCCUCUUAUCUCUCGGAACAAAUCUCAAUUGACAGAAGUUAAAAAGAUUCUAUAGUGUAAGGUAUACAAAGCUGCAUUACUUACACUAUAUUUCUCCCCCCCCCCUCCAGCUGAUAAAGGGUUAAAUUCCAGCAUCUAUUUCUCUCUGUGCUGGGUCAGUGCUUCACCUCCUCUAGGGUCAUUCGACAGGGGGCCUAAUGCUCAUGCGUGGUGACCGCUGCAAACAUUCACAUAGGAAAGUAAUUGCUGCAAUGCUUUCUUAUAUGGAUUUAAGAGACACUGGAUGUACUCGUGCAAAACGUGACAACGUCGCUUAGCAAGUAGAAAGUGCCGCUAGUGGCUGUCAUUCAAACAGGAUUAAUCCUGUUAAUUUCUUUAAAACUGCAAUAUUUUACAUUGCACCCACACCACUUCAAUGAGCUGAAGUUGUCUGGGUGCGUGUAGGGUCCCUUUAAUAUCAGAUCUUAUGCUGCAAAUAGGAGGAGUGGGAGACCCCAUUCCACAAUUCAAAAUUAAUAAACUGUGGAGCUGUUCUUUCAGAACUUAAAAUCCAAUUUUAUUUAAAUUAUGACUAUGUUUUAGAACUAAUCUCAAUUUAAAUUAAUUAAUUUCUGGUCUUAUAUUAAAAAUGAGGCCCUGUAGGCAUACAGUUUGCAGACUGUGGACCGUCUACAUCCAAAUUCCAACUCCUUUUUUUCCUAAAACGUAAAUCACAUUAUAUUAGAUUCCUUCUAGCGGCUAGUAUAAUUCUAAGUUUACAGAAAUUUAAUGAGGAACUUUAUGUUUAAAUUGAUAAGGGAUGCAACAUCCCCUCCCAAAUCAUAAUUCUGAGAUGAGCUCUAAAAAAAAUAAAUAUCAGACUCUCUGAUAUAGUGUUCUCUGAGCUAUUAUAACAUCUCAGUUAAUAGAAAGUAAAAUUUGGGUACCAUUUUGAAAAUGGUAGACGAGUGAUAUAAUGUUUUUGAAUCUAGUGUACUGCUCUCUGUUUUGAACUGUUUUUAUUUUAUUUUUUAAAUAUAUACUACACAGAAUUUAAUUAUUCUUACAUGUUAGAACAAAUUUAAAUUGGCAGAAAUGAAACUUGUGUUUGAAAACGAUAGAAUUUACAACACCACCCUCAUCUUAGAAAAACCUUAAUCAGUCAGAUUUUGAUUCCUGGUAAUUCAAAAAAACAAAUCUCAACAGAAAAAAAGUUUGAAUCCUAUUAUGAAAAUGUUAGGUGUUGCAAUACACCCUCCAGAUUCAAAUUCCAGACCAUUGAGCUGAAAAUAUUAAUUAUUUCAGAAGUUAAAAAAAAACACUGAUUUAGAUGCUUCUUAGCUCUUAGAACAGAUUUCAGUGACAUAUGAAAUGUGGAUCUUAUUUUUAGAACUGUGGUGUUUGCAACACACUCUGUUACAAAUUUGUACAUUUUAGAACUGUUGAGCUGAAAGUCAACAUGGUUUCAAAAACAUAAAAAAUAUAUACUAAUAGAAUUAUGGUGGGGGGGGGGGGAAAGUGAUUAAAAACCACUUUCGACCAAAGUCAGUGGAUAGUCAAUACAUUGUUAAACACAGAUCUGCACACACCAGUCAAGAAAUAAAAACUUGCUUUUCCAGCAGAAAUCUCACAUUUGCAGUACUGUUAUUACUGUAAGGGAUUAUGGGUGGGCAUAUGCAAAUGAGUUCGUUGUUGAAUAUUGUGUGUGUGUGUAUAAAUAUAUAAUAUAAAACUAACAUGUACAAACAAUGUAGCCAAGGAAUAUGCACAACAUAAAACAGUGGCAAGUUGUUUGUAUAGGGAGAGGUAUUAGCAGUAGAAAGAGGAAGUGCUCAUGCCAUUGUACAGAACACUGGUGAGACCUCACUUGGAGUAUUGUACACAGUACUGGAGACCGUAUCUUCAGAAGGAUAUUGAUACCUUAGAGAGGGUUCAGAGAAGGGCUACUAAACUGGUUCAUGGAUUGCGGGAUAAAACUUACCAGGAAAGGUUAAAGGAUCUUAACAUGUAUAGCUUGGAGGAAAGACGAGACAGGGGGGAUAUGAUAGAAACAUUUAAAUAUAUAAAGGGAAUCAACACAGUAAAGAAGGAGACUAUAUUUAAAAGAAGAAAAACUACCACAACAAGAGGACAUAGUCUUAAAUUAGAGGGACAAAGGUUUAAAAUAAUAUCAGGAAGUAUUACUUUACUGAGAGGGUAGUGGAUGCAUGGAAUAGCCUUCCAGCUGAAGUGGUAGAGGUUAACACAGUAAAGGAGUUUAAACAUGCAUGGGAUAUUCAUAAGGCUAUCCUAACUAUAAGAUAAGGCCAAGGAUUAAUGAAAGUAUUUAAAAAAAUUGGGCGGGCUAGAUGGGUCGAAUGGUUCUUAUCUGCCAUCACAUUCUAAGUUACUACUUACAAAAUAUGUAUCUAUAGCUGUGGGCAACCAUUUUGGGUCGUAAAUCCUUCCCUUCGUGAUAAAGACUGAAUAAUGUCCUGCUGCAACAUGUAUAAAACUGGCACAGCAAACAAACAAAAUAAUAAAAAUUACAUAUAGUUUAUACUAAAACAACUCUAGCUUAAUGGAGCAGUUUUGGUGUAUAGAUGAUGUCCCUGAAGCGUCACUGCUCUAUUCUCAGUCAUAGAAGAGUUGUAUCACUUAGUUUAUACAACCCUAGUCACACCACCCAACUAAUAUUUAAACAGCUUUCAGGAAAUAAGUACAAUUCUUACAGCACAGUAUGUUUAUUUGAGAAGUUCUUAAUUCCUGCUCUGAUUUAAAGGAACACUCCACACACUCAAAGCUUUUAGGCUUGCUAAAUAAUUUGCCCUCUUCUUCUUUUAUUUUAUUUUUUUAAAUUUUACUAAAAGUUUAGAUUUCAACAUAAAUUGGCACUUUAGUCUGUCACUUUAUGAUAAUAAAAUAAAAAUAUUCCACUUACAUUCUUAUUUAUUUUCUUUGUGUCCAAGUAAUUUACAACUGUGUCCACUUGCAAUUUGUUUUCUGUAAAUACAAUAUUUUUUACAGUAUGACCUUGUUCAUUCCACAAUAGAAAAGUUUUGCCAGCAAAGUGUGAGUCAAGCUCUUAUCUAUUCUUUGCUUAAAGUAUAAUUACAGAUUAGACUCUCAUUUACAAAAUUGCUGUGAGAAUGCAUGGGCCUGAAGAAUUAUAGAAAUGGACUCAUGUAGGAUAGAGGGCACACAUUUUACAAUUAAUUAAUCCCACAACACAUUAUAGAAAAGUUCAAUUGCCUCUCAAUAAAGGUGACAUUUCACAAUGUAUUUGAACAAAUGAUAUUUGAUAUGUGCAAUCAUAAAAAAGACCGAUACACUCCUACAAAAAGUCAGCCAAGGUGCCAUUGGUAGUAUCCACUUUUAUGUGAAAUAACUCUCAUGCGCAAAAUAAUGUAACACAUGCUCCUUCAAAUACCCAUCUUUUUCAAAAAAUAUUUUCAUGGUCAAUGGUCCUGUUAUUUUAAUCUUUCCCAUGGGUAGGCUAGUUGGUUAAUACUAGAACUGAGGAACCCAUUGUGUAAUGAAACCCAUUUAAGACCGUGCUGAAAGGGAUACAAUAUCUCAAGGUCAGGUCUACAAGAAAAGAACUCAAGGUUUUUUAGGGCAAUUGCAUCAAUGUUUGAGAAACAACAACAAAACACCCAGAUGCCAUUCUUAACCCUAGCCUCUGUUUCAAUAUAUUUAGUUGGCAUGCCCCCUCUUUAUUAUAUUAUUACCAUCCCUUCCGUCUAAUGUGUAGGAGGUAGGUGGGGCAAUGACAUGUCCCUAUACGUUUAUUAUAACAUUGCCACUACCAGCUAUGGACUACAGCAUGUAAACACCAGUUACAAUAUGNNNNNNNNNNNNNNNNNNNNNNNNNNNNNNNNNNNNNNNNNNNNNNNNNNNNNNNNNNNNNNNNNNNNNNNNNNNNNNNNNNNNNNNNNNNNNNNNNNNNGCAAUGGCAAUUGUAAUUUAAAUGAAUCAUUUAAUGGUAUCAGCUCGUGGAGGCUUGUCGAACCCUAGUAACAAUGUCAAUGAGUGUACAAUUCAUUUAAAGUUACAAUUUUAUAAAGCGCUGGGGUUUCUUUUAAUUGUAAUCAAAGCCAACUCAUAAUGUACAAAUAAACUGAUGGAAAAAUGGCUACAGGUAAAUCUUAUAAUAAAAUGUAUAUGAUGUGUUUUCAAAAUCAUGCGCAAAUGUAUAAAUGGAAAAGUAUACUUACCCAAUGUUUACCCCUGUGUGUACAUAUGGUGUUAAAUCACGGAAUACAGAAACCGAGCAAGGGGCGUGUUAAUAAGUAACCGUCGAAGACAGUGAUAUAAGCUUAUUGCCUGACUAAAGAAUAACAUCUUAUCUAUACAUUUGCCAGCAAUGUAGAUUCAAUUAUAUCAUCUUCAAAAUGCCGCCAUGCUUUUUUGCAUUAUAUAUUUGCCAUAAUAAAUCUAUUCUUACAAUAGAACCUUAUCUAUAGAAUGUGACGUUAGUAACAAAAUAAUGGAUGGCACCAUCUAGAUUAAACUUGCUUAAAGAAAAUGUAUACUUCUAAUAUUCCACUCUCGCACACUCACUCUUGAAAACGAUGUCAUUCAAUUCUCUGCAUUUUUGUCUUUUCUUGUGCAAGAGUUAAACAUGUUCAUUAUUGAUGAGUUUAGUUUUGUAGAUGAAAACUGGCCUAACCAUUGUUCCAAAGAGAGUUACUCCAGUUUCCUGGUGUCAGUUGUAACAGUUCACAGAAUAUCGAAUAAGACAACAUUUUCACAGUGCGUCAGAAAGCAAUUCUAAGACUAUGGAACACCAGCCUCCAUGGUAUUCACUAAACACUAAAAUACUGGAUUUCUGACUUAUUUGCUGUUUUUAAAUAUUUACCAGCAGGGAGUCUGAUCAAAAUGUGCUCAUUUCAUUUGAAUGAAAACAAUUUGGUACCACUCAGUGUCUGGUUAAAAUCAGUGACUUUAGCAUGCAAAUUCUAUAUGAAAUAUAGGAUUUACAUAUUUACAGAACACCGAACAUAUAUCAAAUUUCCAAAGAACAAAAUAUAUCUAUGGAUAGGGUAAGUUUACCCAUUCCAUAGAUAAAAACACCUUUAUUGACACUCCAGCAGUGUCAUGUGGGGCUUAACCCCUAUUCCUAGAACAUCAAAGAAAAUUCACAAAUCUGAAGAAAACACUCCAGAUAUGUAAAUAGUAACUGGAAGUUAGAUUGGAUAAAUAAUAUCAAAAUACGGAAAUAAAAUAAAAAAUGUUUGUGAAUUUGCCAGAAAGAGGUAAAAAAAAACGAUCAAUACAUAGAUCUCCCCAGCUAUCAAUAGCUGUACCUCCCUAAUGUCUAUGUUGGUUAGUAUCAGAUCAGACUUCUGACUUUAAUAUUAUAAUCAGUGUCAAUGUCUGGAAAGUAUGAAGGUACAAAUAUCAUAGACAUCAAUUCUAAAUUAACACAGUAUUUGUGUCAAAAUAUCAAAUAUAUGGCAAGAUUUCAACAAAAGUUAAAUGUAAUGCUGCUGCCUCAUUAAUCAAACUAUACUGUGUUAAUCCUGUAGCUAGAGGGGGGUGAACGUAACCUGUUAUAUACUAAUCAACAGGCUUGCUAUUUAUGUAACUGUAUAUGGGAUUGCAUUCAUUGCGUGAAUACCCAACAGAAACAAAAUAUCCAGUCCGUGAAAAUAAACUAUAAAAUUCACUCCCCCAAUAGUACGAGGAAAGAAUAUGCAGGAGGAAAGAGAAGAAAGAAAAACAGUUAAUGCGUGCUAAUGUGCAGGACCAUACUUAGAAUGUUGGUCCCUGCACAUGUGACAGUGUCCUGUGAAGUGAAAAAAAGUGAAGAAAACCCGACGCGCGUUUCGGUGCCGCUAACGUGCACCCUGACGAAAGUAUGCACCCUUCAUACUUUCCAGACAUUGACACUGAUUAUAAUAUUAAAGUCAGAAGUCUGAUCUGAUACUAACCAACAUAGACAUUAGGGAGGUACAGCUAUUGAUAGCCGGGGAGAUCUAUGUAUUGAUCGUUUUUUUGACCUCUUUCUGGCAAAUUCACAAACAUUUUUUAUUUUAUUUCCGUAUUUUGAUAUUAUUUAUCCAAUCUAACUUCCAGUUACUAUUUACAUAUCUGGAGUGUUUUCUUCAGAUUUGUGAAUAUAUCAAAUUUCUACUGGAUCUUGACCAAAAACAGGCAAAUCUAGUAAAUAAAUUUGUAUUUUCCAAGUUAAUUUAUUGGACUUGACUAUUUGUGUUUUAAAACCCCUCUGCAGUGCAAGGGUUAAAGAAACACUGCAGGUUCCAUAAACACGUCAACAUAUAGAACGAUCUUUUGAAGUGGUUAUGGUGCCCCUUUAAGCAUGUGGUGGCUGGCCAGCUAUUACUAGAUGGCCACUACAAAAAAUAAAUAAUAAAAAAGCCUAUCAGAGUUAAUGUGAUCCCACAUAUCUAUUGGGAGGAUUAUAUAAUUGCUUCUGCCCCCAUUAGCAGUGGCAUGGGGCCUGUAACUUAAUAGCGAGGACCCAAUACUGGUCCUCCUACACAUGGGCAGAGGAUCCAUAUAAGACCUGAGUCCAGUAGGUGGCGUUNNNNNNNNNNNNNNNNNNNNNNNNNNNNNNNNNNNNNNNNNNNNNNNNNNNNNNNNNNNNNNNNNNNNNNNNNNNNNNNNNNNNNNNNNNNNNNNNNNNNUGAGCUGAUACAAACCUGGACCAGGAUCACGUGGAACUAAAUAAGCCCCAUGAAUAAAUUAUCUCACUAAAAUGACAUUUUAUGGCCUUAUCUGUGUAAUAAUAAGCAAGAUAUAAAGGAGGGUGGGGGGGAGAGAAAUCGAUGUUUGUAUCAUGAAAUGAGUUAUAGAUGCAUUACUGAAACAGAUGUCUUUUCUGUGAGUGAUAUUUAAAAGGUUAUUUCAGGAAGCCUCACUAUACCGUUAAAAAGCGUCUGCCCAGAGCACUUCAGUUCGUUUGGGAGUCCCUUUAUGGAUUGUGUAUGGCAAAUGGCUGUAAUGUUUGAUAACAAAACACUGGGCUUUCAAUAAGAAGCAAUUACAGGCCUUCGGUAAAUAUACAGCCGUGGCAGGACUUCAACGCAGGACUGAAGUCAACAAUGUUUUAUUUGGAACAAAGCAGUUCCUGUUUCUACUGAGUAAUUAAAAUUAAAUUGGUCAUUGUUCUUUUUCAUUUCUUUUUAUCUGUAUGUCUUUUCUAUUUGUUUACAAAUCACGAAUUUCGGAAAUGUUCUCCACAUUACUCCUAGGGUAGCACUCUGUUUAGAUGCCAGGGUUUCCUUGGGGUCAUUUUUUUUGUGUUUAAAAUGUAAAGGGCAUGAACGCGUGCUGGUUAGAAGGGAUGGACUGCUGGGUAAAGAAGAUGCAGACGCAGUGAGAAGGGGAGUUUGGUGGCUUUGUAAAUCUGUCUAGCGUAAAUCGAGAAGAAAUAGCUGCUGGCAGGAAGCUUUAAACCUCUGAUAUGUUCAGAAGUAUUGAUUAGGUUAUUGCAGACAAACUUUUAUUUCUCGAUGCUCCUCCAUGGGAAAUGGUUAAAAGUUGCAGAAGCUACAGAAACUUGACAGAAACAUUACUUUUAACAGUAAAACAAAUAUAUAUUGAGGAUGUUUCCGACACAUCCACUAGGGGGCAGUGGACAACGUCUUGGUUGUAGAGGAAGAAUACAGCUGGGAACUUUGGAUACAUAUUAAGUGGGUAAUAUCUAACUUGUAUUAAUUUUUUUUUUUUUUUUUUUUCUGGUGGGUCUCUACAAAAUGAUUCUAAUACUCCAAGACUUUGUUUAGUUAUAUAAAUGCCUCAAAACAUAAAAUGGUCUAUGUCUAUGCAUUUUGCAGACAUUAGAACAGUUGCCAAGAAUAAUUACCUUUACAGUAAGUGUUAGGAUCCCAUGCCAUUCCAGAUGUCUGCAUUCGGAUGUCUGAAUAUUCUAGAAUCUUUUACGUAUGGAUGAAAUCUGCAAAAUAUGACAGUUGAGAAACUGUGUUAAGAAUCUUAUUCCAUUAUUUUUUGCAGUGAACUGAUCGAAAUCCUGAUAGACUGCAAGCUGUUUAAAUGUCAGUGGAUUAUUUUUUUAUUUUAAUUUAAAUCCACCCAGCCUCCCUACCUUUGGGAUAGCUGGUUUGAUUUUUUACCUGGGGUCCAGUGGAGAUGCUGGCCGGGCUGUUUGGGCAGGAAGGCAGUCGUGCCGGCAGGUGGGCGGCCAGUUGACGUCUUAUUCCGGCACCGGGCAUCACUCUGCGGCGCGCCUGGAGCUCAGCUAGCUUCCUGCCUCAGGGCUAACAAAGCAUUUGCCUGGGCAUGUGGGGGCGGCGUUUUUUGCCGCCCCCUGGAAUGUACUGCCCAAGGCAAAUGCCUUGUUUGCAUCGCGGCAAAUACAGCCCUGGUCCUACCUCCAGCAAGGGAAGACCAGAUGUUUAUAUGGCCUCUCUAUGCUCACAAACUCCAGGAAACUGUUGUUGUCUUAACUAUUGUAUACACAGUAAAGCAAGCAUGUACGACAGUCCAAUGUUUUUGUUUCAGAGGUCCAGAUAGGAUAGCAGUAUUCUUUGUUUUCUUUUUUAUGUGUCUUCUGUUAUUUCUUUAUUUUUAAACAUAUAAGCACACACUUUGCUAUGCUAUGGAUUCAUUGCUCUCACAUACCCUAUCAUACAUUUUCAAACAUGAAUGUCCAGCUAGGCUAUGAACAAUCCGUGUGUAGCAAUCCCACCAAAUCUUUAGCAGACACAUUUAUAACUAACCCAUACUGUUUGCAACCGAGAAACAUAUGGGCAGCUCAUCUAUAAAUAAUGCGUGGCUUCUGGUCAUAAUGAAGACUUGCAGCUACACACAGUAAAAAUGCACUCACCGCAAUAUCCUCUCAAAGAUUAAUUAAUGAAGUCAUUUCAUCUGAAUUAGCUUUUUUUUGACCCAUUCACUGCUAAAACUUCAAAGAUAAAUUUGCAUUUUGUAUAGGGUCCAGAAUGUUAUGCUACAUAAUGUCAGAAUGUUUUGGAAUCUCUAGCCUGUAGUUAUAGAUAUGGUAUGUUUUAGCGAAAGUGCUCCAGCUGUAAGUUUUGUUAGUGUUGAUGUUGCUCUUAACAAAUGUCAGCCUCUGUCAAGUAAAUACUACGCAUUCCAGUACUCUGCUCCUGGGUCAGAUGGUUGACUAGAACCCCCACCAUUUCAAUAUAUUCUUGAAGGCAGGGGAUUUUAUAAGGGUAAUGCCAUCUGAAUGUGCCCGUCAGCAUUUUAGUGGAAGGUAUUAAUGUCCUGUUGGCAUGAUUGAACAAGGCAGCACUUUCAUAGGGUGACCGUUUAAAUUAAAGCAAAUCUUAGUGUAAGCACCAAGUAGAAAUCGGUUUGUACUAAUCAAGUACUAAAGUCUCCCUAGAAACAUUUUACAGUCCAGGAAACUGAACCCUUUAGUUUAGAGCAGAAUUGUGCUGACUAUGAAUUGUACGCAGGACCAUCUAUAAUAUGAAUAGAACCUUGAGCAUUGCAUUUUCUCGGGCCCACCUGGACCCUGCCUCCCCCUCCCCGGAAUUGCAGUCACACCUUUCACAUACAUACUUACACAGACGUAUACACCGACAGACACACUGGCACAUGCACACACAGACAUACUGACAAACAUAUUCACUGACAGACAUACUGACAUAUUCACAGACAAACACACAAAAAAUACUGGCACACACACUGACAGACAUACUAACACACAUAUAUACUGACAGACAUUACACAUUCAGACUGACACACAUACGGAUAUAUUGACAGACACAUACACACACUGACAGACAUACAAACAUAUGCCCUGACAAGUAUACUGACACACACAGAUGCAUACACUAACAGACAUACUGAUACACAUAUACUGACAGACAUAGUAACACACACAGACAUACUGACACACACACACACAGACACAUAAACUGACAGACAUACUGACAUACACUGACAGACAUCCAUAUUGACAGACAUACUGACACAAACGCGGAUACAUACUGACAGACAAACUGACACACACAUAACGACAGACAAACUGACACACACUGAGACAUACACACAUACUGACAGAAAUAGUGACACACACAGAGACACACACACAGACACACACAUGUACUGACAGACAUAUUGACACACACAGACAUACACUGACAGACAACCUACUGGCACACACACAGACAUACACUGACAAACAUACACUGACAGACAACAUACUGACACAUACACUGACAGACAUACUGACACAUACACACACUCAAAAUUUACACUAUUAAAUCUACCUCCCAUUUCCUACCUUGAAGGGUGGCUUCCCUGGUGUCCAGAGUGGUGGCUGAGGCUGCUGGGGGUUGCAGACUGGAAAUCCCGGCCCAGCACUUCUCCUCUGUGCCUCCCUGGUCUCUCCCGUGUGGCUCUCUCUGGGAGGAAGUGACUCACGACAGUCACUUCCUCCCAUGAUGCCAAAAAGCAAGGGUACCCCGUCAUGCUGUUAAAGGGCCACUGCACGCAACUGGGCCCCUGCUUACAAACGCCUACCGGGUGGCCCUUAGUGCAUGGGCCACCCGGUGGACCUCUUUAGUGUGCGGGCCACGGGCUGCACUGGAGGCCCAUGGGGGUUAAGUAGUUGAGGGCAGCCGGACCCACAGGGCAGCUCCCUUGGGCCACCCAGAAGUAACUGGGCCUGGGGCAGCGGCACCAUUUGCCCCAUGUGAAAGACGGCCCUGAUUGUACACAGGCUUAUUCUGAAUAACGAAAUGUUUGAUUUGGGAGAGGUGUGAUUUGCCUCGGGGAGGGGGGUUAACCUUGGAUUUGUGCACCAACCUUUUGUCCAUGAUAAAGCAAAACAAUUAAUUAGCAUUAAAGUUGUCUUGAAACUUGUCAAAGAUUAUAUUCUAUUUAGCUAUAUACCUAUAGUAGAUGCAGGGAAAACAAAACUAUUUUAAUUUAAUUAAGAAAAUAUAAUUUGAUGGUAUAUUAUAUUAUAAUUGCCUUCUGAAAAAGCACAGCACAGCAUAUAAUGCAACAUUAUGAUCAUUCCAUCAUUUUUCCCUCUUUCCUGCGUAUUGGUGGAUAUUCAAUUAAAAAUAAAUUGCUGCAUAAUUGUUGCAUUUGUAGUGAAUAGUUUGCUACAGGUGCAUAAGCUAUAAAAUAAAACAGACAACUUGUAAAUGGACAUUACCUCCUCGUCCCCUUCGGACAGUUUUAUUAGUUGUGCUUUAUUUUGAAAAUAUCAAUAAAAAACAAGACAUAAAAAAAUAUUAAAGCAAAUUUUACCCGUUCAAACACACAUGUUCUGAUCUUGUUAAGCUUUAUUUGGCAGCAUGCGAUUCCUCCAUUCAGCGAUGGCCAAAUGGUUUAUGUACCUACCACCAACAUUAAGACAUUGGAAUUGUCCCGUAAAAUGCAGCCAAUGUGUUCACUCUAGUGCAAACAACCAUGCUUGCAUGAAGGGCCCCAUCAGUUCGUGACAAAUGUGACGAGCCUUGUGGUUCUUGAGGGCGCAGACUGCUCUGGAAGACUCGGGCCCAGGGAGAUAUGGCUAUAUAGGCCCCAGACCCCACAGUCCUAAUGUGCACAAUAUAUAUUCACAUGUGGGUCCCGGCGACCCUAGAGCAUCCCAGCACAUGCCAUCUUCAGCUCCUCUCUCUCUAACUCACAUGAGCCCCUGGGCCGUCAGAGCAUCACUGGUUACCAUGGCAACACUCCACACAGCACCCAGGCCAGUCAUGCAAGAGUUAAAUAAAGAAAGGCACCUAUAAAGUGAAGAUGGUUUUGGGCCCACUCUACAGUGUACAACACCUGGUACCACCAGGGCCGGACUGGCAUAUUUCCUGGUGGGCCGCAGCACCUGGGGGCUGCACAACUCUAACUCCCUAUAGAGAGGGAGCCCUGCGGCUGUUUUCAAUAAUAUCACUUCCGCCGGCCGCAUGUAGGUGCUGACGGGUGGCCGGUCCAGUGGCAUGCUCUGAGGGGGUUUCCUUGCGGCCGGCGGCCAUAUCUCAUGUGGUGUAUGACCGCUGUCCGUAUCAGUGAGUGUACUGGCCGGGCGGCAGACAGAGGGGGGAGAGUGACACAGGGAGGAGAGACACAGGGAGGAAAGGGGGGAGGGAGAUACAGGAAGGAGAGGUGAGAGAGUCACAAGGAGUAGAGGGGGGAGAGAGUCACAAGGAGGAGAGGGGGGAGAGAGACACGGGGAGGAGAGGGGGAGGAGAGACACAGGGAAGAGAGGGGAGAAAGAGACACACAGAAGGUUUGUUGGGGGGACAAAGAGACGUACAGAAGGGAAGGGGAACAACGUGACACAAGUUUUGGGCUGGGGGAAAAACAGAGACAGAGUGGCUGGGAGAAGAGAAAGAGGCACACAGAGUCUAGAGUUAGAAAGGGAAACACAGAGGGGAUUUGGAAGGGGAGAAAGAGACAAAGGGUCUGGGGCUAAGACAUGCAAAAGGGGCUGGGGGAAAAUCAAUAUACAGAGGCUGGAGAAGGGUAAUAUGAGACACACAGGGGCUAGGAUGAAGUAAAAGAUACACAAGGGGAGCUAAAAGAGAAUUACAAGGGUGGCUGUAAGAAAAAAAUGGAGACAAGAUACACUAAACGAGGUAAAAAAAAAAAAAUCAGAGGAGGGAAUAGGAAACACAAAAAAAGGCAAGAAUUUCACAAGGGAGUUAAAAUAAACACAAGAGAAGAUGCAUUUGUUUGUGUGUUUGGGGGGGAUGCAUUUUCGCUGUGUCUCCUGCUCUCCCUGUAACUCAGUUUAUGCCGAAGAGCUAAUAGACAGGUGAGAGAAAGACCUCUUAUUAAAUAGAUUUUCCUUCCAAUAUAUGCAUUUUGCUAGCAAACUUUCUAACACAAUGUACAGAUAGAGGUAAUUGAUGUGAUCCUGACUGUAAUACACAUAUAUAUAUAUAUUUAUAUGCAUGUAUAUUGAUGUGUGUAUUAGUAACAAAAUUGUGCCUAUAAUAUUUACACAUGUAUUAAUAUGCAUUUUUAUAUGCAUAAUACACACAGAAUGUCAUUAAUAUAUAACAUAUAUGUAAUGAGCACGUAUUGGCCCAGUCUUGUUGCUAGGUGCACACUCCAUCACAAUAACAUAUUCAAAGUGAAGAGCACACUCAUAGGACUUCAGAAUGAACAAGAUGACGUCAUUUUUUACAGCUGUGCACCACAUACAGUCACCAUUUCAGUCCCAUUACUAAAAUUUCCUUAAUAUGUCAAGGUAGUUGGACUGAAAUAUUGAUUACAUGCAAAUGUACGUCUUCUUAAAAUAAAGGCUCUCUUUUGUUUAUUUUGAAACCCUAUAUGUAGCGAUGUCCCUAAUGGUUCGCCGGCAAAUAGUUCCCGGCGAACAUCACUUGUUCGCGUUUGCCACGGACGGCUAACGUAUGCGCUGUUCGGUCCGCCCCCUAUUCAUCAUCAUUGAGUAAACUUUGACCCUGUACCUCACAGUCAGCAGACACAUUCCAGCCAAUCAGCAGCAGACCCUCCCUCCCAGACCCUCCCACCUCCUGGACAGCAUCCAUUUUACAUUCAUUGUGAAGCUGCAUUCUUAGUGAGAGGAGGGACAGUGUAGCUGCUGCUGAUUUGAUAGGGAAAUUGAUAGCUAGGCUAGUGUAUUCAGUGUCCACUACAGUCCUGAAGGACUCAUCUGAUCUCUGCUGUAAGGAACAGCACCUCAAAAAGCCCUUUUUAGGGCUAAAACAUCAGUCUGCUUUUUUUUUUCUGUGUAAUGUAAUUGCAGUUGCCUGCCUGCCAGCCUGUGUGUCAGGCUCACAGCAUAUACUGUGCCCACUUGCCCAGUGCCACCACUCAUAUCCGGUGUCACAAUAGCUUGCAUUUAACAAAAAAAAACUUUUUGGACUGUAAUAUAAUAGCAGUCAGUUUCCUUCACACGUGUGCGUUUAAGGGCCUGCCAGGGCAAAGUGUCACACCAGUGCAACUCAUAUCUGGUGUAACAGUAGUGUACAUGUAAAAAAAUAAAAUAAAAUUUUGACUGUAAUAGAUUGAAUAGCAGUUAGUUGUCUGCAAGCGUGUGUCAGGCCUACAGCGUCUACUCUNNNNNNNNNNNNNNNNNNNNNNNNNNNNNNNNNNNNNNNNNNNNNNNNNNNNNNNNNNNNNNNNNNNNNNNNNNNNNNNNNNNNNNNNNNNNNNNNNNNNGUGUCUGUCUGUGUCAUUGUGUCUGUCUGGCUGUGUCGUUGUGUGUCUGUCUGUGUCAUUGUGUCUGUCUGUGUCAUUCUGUCUGUCUGUGUCAUUGUGUGUGUCUGUGUCAUUGUGUGUGUCUGUCUGUGUCAGUGUGUCUGUCUGUGUCAGUGUGUCUGUCUGUGUCAUUCUGUCUGUCUGUGUCAUUCUGUCUGUCUGUGUCAUUCUGUCUGUCUGUGUCAUUGUGUGUGUCUCGGUCUGUGUCAUUGUGUGUGUCUCGGUCUGUCAUGGUGUGUGUGCCUGUCAGUGUGACUGUGUGUGUGUCUGUGUCUGUCAUGGUGUGUGUGCCUGUCAGUGUGACUGUGUGUGUGUCUGUGUCUGUCAUGGUGUGUGUGCCUGUCAGUGUGACUGUGUGUGUGUCUGUGUCUGUCAUGGUGUGUGUGCCUGUCAGUGUGACUGUGUGUGUGUCUGUGUCAUUGUGUGUGUCUGUGUCAUGCGGUGUGUGUCUGUGUCAUGGUCUGUCUAUGUCAUGGUGUGUGUGUGGUUAUUGUGCCUGGAUUAUUUCUUUAAAUAAUCUACAAGUGCCCCUCCCGAGAUCAGGUUCUGGAUCUGCCACUGCUAUCCAAACACUGCAUCCAUUACACAAACUCACUGCGUUCACUAUCCACACACUGCAUACAGUACACACAAACAUUACAUAAACUACACACACUGCAUCCAUCACACAAACGUACAAUCUGCGUUCACUAAACACACAUGGCAUCCACUGCACACUUCAUUCACUAUAUACAACCUCCUCAUCCACUACACACACUCUCUGCAUCCACUACAAACACACUGCAUCUACACACACACACACACACACACUACACACCCACUAUACACACACUGCAUUCACUACACACACACUAUACAUAAACUAUAAAAAACACUGCAGGUACACAUACACUGCAUCCUUGUAGGCGGACUCAGGAUGGUGGGCAGACUCAGGGUGGUCGCUGGGUGCCCAGUCACGGAGCUUUGUAAGGGGCCACAAAAAUUCUGAUGGCAGUCCUACUUGAAUGGGUUAUUUAUUAUCAUAUACCUACAAACAAUGUGUGGUGCAGGAAUGCAUCUAAAAAUCCAUACAACCCGGGCUGAUAUUUUUAUCCGAAUCCCACGGAAACUCGCGACCGCUCCAACCAGGGCUGCCAUCAGAAAUUUUGGGGCCCCUGACACAGUUCAAAGUCUGGGUUCCCCCGGACCUGCCCCCGGGGGCCCAUUCUGAGUCCGCCCACAAGGAUGCCCUGUCUGUGUGGUGUGUAAAAUGGAUACAGAGUGCACAUUUGUAUAAUGGAUGUGGUUUUGUGUGUUUUAGAUAAAGUGUGUGUUUGUGUAGUGAAUGCAGAGUGUGUUUGUGUUGUGGUUUUAGUUUGUGUAUGGUGAAUGAAGUGCAUGUUUGUGUUGUGGUUUUAGUUUGUGUAUGGUGAAUGAAGUGCAUGUUUGUGUUGUGGUUUUAGUUUGUGUAUGGUGAAUGAAGUGCAUGUUUGUGUUGUGGUUUUAGUGUGUGUAUGGUGAAUGCAGUGUGUGUUUUGUGGUUUUAGUGUGUGUAUGGUGAAUGCAGUAUGUGUUGUAGUUUUAGUGUGUGUAUGGUGAAUGCAGUGUGUGUUUGUGUUGUCGUUUUAGUGUGUGUAUGGUGAAUGCAGUGUGUGUUUGUGUUGUCGUUUUAGUGUGUGUAUGGUGAAUGCAGUGUGUUUUGUGGUUUUCGUGUGUGUAUAGUGAAUGCAGUAUGUGUUGUAGUUUUAGUGUGUGUAUAGUCUAUGCAGUGUGUGUGUGUUGUGGUUUUAGUGUGUGUAUGGUGAAUGCAGUGUGUGUUUGUGUUGUGGUUUUAGUGUGUGUAAAAUAUGGGGCUGCAUAGGGGGGGGAGCCUUUUUGUAUAUGACCCACAUUUAUUUGACACUAUUUUAUUCCCCCCCCCUGCUUCUUACCUGACUAGGGAGGGGGGAGAUUGCAUCUCUGGUGGUCUGGUGGAGGGAGCCAGCCGCUGUACAAUGCAGACGGGGGCCAGCCAGCACCUGUACCUGUUUGCCGCGCGGAGCAUUGCCAUGGUAACCCGUGACAACACUCUGCCGGCCGCAGAGCUCACGAGACUUACAGGCACAGGAGCUGCUGGAGAGUUAAGAUGGUGCUGGCUGGCCCCCGUCUGCAUUGUACAGGUAGCCGGGGCCUGAGGUGAACAUAUAGAUUGCGAUAAUCGCUAUCUAUAUGUACACAUAUGAAAUGUGGGGCCUGGGACUCCCAGAGCAGUCAGGGCCCUCCCAGGACCGCCAAGCUCAUGACAACCGUUAUGGUUGUCAUGCCCUGAUGGCGGCCCUGGCUCCAACUGUGGGUUAAUUUGAAGCCAGUUAAACAGAUAGCAGUGGUUCCAAAAUGCAGUCAAGUACUGAAACAACAGUAUGGUUACACUGAGCACCUUUUGCAUCGAUUCAACCUACAGAAUGUAAUUAUUGUAAAUGUAAUGUUUAAAUGCAGGACUACUUCACAUGGACCUAAAUGCUUGCCUCCUGUACUAAAUGAUGGGGUGCACAUUAGAUGACGUUCUCAAAAAAAAGAAAAAUUUAAAAAAAGUUUUCAAAACUCAAAGCUAGUUUUACAGAACAUUAACCCUUACAUAUCUGAAAACAAUAUAUUUCAAUUAAUUGAGUCUGAAAUAUUAAGAAAAAUAUUGGGGAGCUGAACCCUUGGGAAAAAUCAAAAUAUCGUCAGCAGGAAAAUUAAAGCUUGCCGGGGAAAUCAGACUUAUUGGUUUGGAUCCCUUUGUCAGCAUAAGCCUUUCAUUUACACCUUACUAUAAGCCUUGACAGCUCUGGGCUAGCUGUCAGAUCAAAUGUAUCAAAAGUACAAUUUCCAGCCAAGUGAACAGAAAAAAAUAUAUAUAUCACACCUUACCUAAAAUGUCAAUUACAAAAGAUCAAAGGCAUUUUAAGAAUUAGUACUCUAAAAAAAAAAAAAAAAACUCCCAUUGGAAAGAAAUGCCGUCAGAAAGAAAGAUGUCUUGUGGUGAAUAUUAGGUGACCUACUGCUUGGAGAAAAGUCUCAAAAAAAGGAUCACACGAUGUGCGUUACUAACUGGGACAAAGGUUAUAGUAUCAGGUGGUAGUCAUCAAAACAAGCAACAGUCAGACAUCAAUCACAGAUUAUUCAGGAGGUUUAAAGGACUUUGUUUACAGAAUGGCUGCCUGAUGGGCUGCGAUAGAAGAUAUUGAUGACCUAAGUGUCAAAAAUAUUGUAAGCAAUCAAAAAAAAAAAAAUGUCCUUAGCUUAUUUGAAGGCCAACAAACAAACUUAUAAUACUAUGUUAUUGUUGAUAUUAUCCACCAUUUGUCACGUCUGUAUUGUGGUGUGUGCCAAUAGACAUGACAGACUGGAUAAACUUUUUCAGGGUUCUAGCAAAAGCUCAUCAGCAAUACAGGUCUUUCAUAGACCUACACAAGUCUACUCAUAACUACCUCCUAUAGGUGGAGGAUAUCGGCAAGGGGUACGCCAUCGUUCGACACAUAGCAACAGUAUAUAUGUUGUCUUGAGUCAUCAAGGGUAUAAUUGUAACAAGCACAAUUAUAUUUGUCUCCCCUACAAUUAGAUACUACACGUCCUGCUCACCUCUUGUUAGGUAUAUUGUUUGAAUAUAAUGGGUUUCCAGUUCUUGGUGGUCUAAAUGGAUCAGGAGAAGAACACAGAGCGCUCAGUAUGGGUCUCUAUGCAUUGUGCAAAACCGUAAAUGAACCCAAGUCACAACAGAUUCCAGUAGAGCUUUUACUGUAACGAUAUAUGCGUAUAUUGUCUUUUGUCCCUUAUAUAGGAGCUGCUCCUGGAUCAUGAACAUUUUAUGUGCAAAUUCUGGUGUGCCUUGGGUUCAUUUACUGUUUUGUAUGUAUAUCCGGUGGGGAACGGAUUAUUUUCACCUAGUACCCUUUAAUACCAUAUCACUAGAUCACCCAUUCCAGUAGAGCUUUUCCUGUAACUAUAUAGGCGAAUAGACUCUACGCAUUGUGCAUCGUGUGACACAGAGCAAGGGCAGGAAUAUUUAUAUAAUGUAUUAUAUUAUUUAUAUAUAUUAUAUUUAUACAAUAUUAUUCCAUAUCUUCAUAUAACAGCAUUGACUAUUAGUACAGAGAUGUUAGUUUUUCAUAGGGGAAAUUGAUGGAACAUAGAAACAUAGAAACAUAGAAACAUUGAAUGUGACGGCAGAUAAGAACCAUUCGGCCCAUCUAGUCUGCCCAAUUUUCUAAAAACUUUCAUUAGUCCCUAGCCUUAUCUUAUAGUUAGGAUAGCCUUAUGCCUAUCCCAUGCAUGCUUAAACUCCUUUACUGUGUUAACCUCUACCACUUUAGCUGGAAGGCUAUUCCAUGCAUCCACUACCCUCUCAGUAAAGUAAUACUUCCUGAUAUUAUUUUUAAACCUUUGUCCCUCUAAUUUAAGACUAUGUCCUCUUGUUGUGGUAGUUUUUCUUCUUUUAAAUAUAGUCUCCUCAUUUACUGUGUUGAUUCCCUUUAUGUAUUUAAAUGUUUCUAUCAUAUCCCCCCUGUCUCGUCUUUCCUCCAAGCUAUACAUGUUAAGAUCCUUUAACCUUUCCUGGUAAGUUUUAUCCCGCAAUCCAUGAACCAGUUUAGUAGCCCUUCUCUGAACCCUCUCUAAGGUAUCAAUAUCCUUCUGAAGAUACGGUCUCCAGUACUGUGUACAAUACUCCAAGUGAGGUCUCACCAGUGUUCUGUACAAUGGCAUGAGCACUUCCCUCUUUCUACUGCUAAUACCUCUCCCUAUACAACCAAGCAUUCUGCUAGCAUUUCCUGCUGCUCUAUUACAUUGUCUGCCUACCUUUAAGUCAUCAGAAAUAAUCACCCCUAAAUCCCUUUCCUCAUAUGUUGAGGUUAGGACUCUAUCAAAUAUUCUGUACUCUGCCCUUGGGUUUUUACGUCCAAGAUGCAUUAUCUUGCACUUAUCCACAUUAAAUGUCAGUUGCCACAAUUCUGACCAUUUUUCUAGUUUACCUAAAUCAUUUGUCAUUUGGCUUAUCCCUCCUGGAACAUCAACCCUGUUACAUAUCUUAGUAUCAUCAGCAAAAAGACAUUUUGCUCCAAUGGGUGUAAAGGUCCCAUGUCCACCCAGAACUAGUAUAGCAGGUAGAGGGUAUUGAAGGGGGUCCAGCACUACCAGAACGAUGUAUCUCAUAGCUGUGACUGUCACUCUGCACUCACUAUUGUUAUUCCAGACUAUAUCCACAAUGACUAACAUUAAGAACUCUAGCUGCUGGUUUAACAGGAGAUCUGAUGUGUCGUACCAUUGCCAAUUGCUGUAUUAUUUUGUCAAUUGCCAAAUUCAUUACUAAAUUCUAAAGUGCAACAUGCAAUCUGGUGCUGGAGUGAAAGGUUUGAAUGUAGUCUAAGACUUUUUCAGGUGUGAAUUAAUCGGUAUUAAGACAGCCAUUCGAAUAUUUCAAUUCUCUAUUUUGAUGUGUGUCCUUUUUUUGGUGGGGGGGGUGAGAGGCAAGCGGGGGGGGGUUACAAUAAAAUAAACUAAAUUGAGCAGAAAUAGCAGCAAGUGUUUCACUCGAUAUUGGUGCUCACUCUUCUCUGCGUCUGUUUGGUAAAGCCAGCUGAAACAUUCUACGAGGAAUACGAGUAUGGUGUGGCAAGUAAAGGGUUGCCAAAUGGCCAAAAACAUAGCAACUGUACUUUCCUAGCAUUGGAAUAUAGGAAUUUUGCACCUAUUUUAUAUCCUUUUAUAGAACAAAUCUUUAACACAAAGAUGUGCGCUUGUUCUCUUUUAGAUAACUGUUGAAGAGUCCCUUCCAUCUCAUGGCUAUAUAUUAAAUAGAAUCAGAAAUUCACUUACUUACAAACUGCAAUUUGUCAGAAUUUGGGCUGAUCAGGUGAUCGUUUGAAUUCUAGAACUCCGAGCUGAAAUGUAGCCAAAUCUCAAACCACACAAAACGCACAACGGCCGAGCAUAUUGUUUUUAUUCAGGAUUCUAAUUCAAAAGAUAUGAUUGAUAGUGAAAAUGAUGAUGGAUAGCGGGGUUAAUUACUAAAGUGAGAAUUGGAAGGAAAUUUAAGGGAAUUUCAAAUUUAAGGCCAAAAUAAACGAAGGGGAAGCACAGCUAACUUUCCAGUUGUGCAAUUUUAGAUUUAAGUUUGAAAUUCUUUUUGAAUUCCCAAUAAUCUCACUUUAGAAGUGAGCGAAAUAGCGGAAAAAAAAUGAGAAGCAGUUAAAAAAAAAAUAAUCUAUAUUUAUACAUUAAAUAUAUUUUAGAAAUCUAUAAUAUUUAAAUAUAGAUUUUUUUCAUGGUCCUCCUGUGUUUCCCUUUACUGCUUACUUCUGCUCACUCGUAAAUGGCAUGAACAUGCUCCUAUCAGUGUACUGCAAAAUAAAUACAUAAUAUUUAUAUUAAACAGACAUAUGGCUGGAAAAAACAAACAAUAAAACGACUUCAAAAAUAUGGUUCGGCCCAAAACAAAUGUCCUCGGCGUGCACAAGUCUAAUAUUGAACACUGUAUCUGACACUCCACUAAAUCAAGGUUAAUAAGAAUUAUGGGUUAUUUUCUGACUCAUUAUCAGCCUGUGCAUUACAGCUAUUGAACUGUUGAUAAAAGCAGCAAUUUUACCAGCCGCUAGUAAAGAAUAGAAUCUUUAACCUGACGACCUUGAUGUGAGUCUUCCUCUCUGUAAUUAUUGCAUCACAAAUGACAUCCUGUAAUUGGGACCAACGUCAUGUAAAUGAAUUGUGGAUAUGAUUCAUGAGGUAAUAAUAUCACAAAAUGCGUUUUCCUGCUCAUUUAAGAUUAGAGGAGAUUAACUUGUACAUUACUAGUUACGAUCAUCGUGAUCGUAAAAACGCUGAAUUUUUAAUGGAAACUCUAUUUCAGUAGACGGUUUUAGAAUAGUAAUGGUAUGUAAAUGAAUAAAAAAGAUUUAAAAAAAAAGACAAUAUUUCUUUUAAUUUUACAUAAUCUAAGAUCUAUCAGAAAAUUGGACAGUAAGAAUCAAGGUGUAUUGAGAUACAAAGGGUUUUAAACUUAAACUCUGCUCCCCAUUAUGUCUCAAGCCUGGGAUUUUGAGUAUUUAUUAUUUCUCUGGAAAAUACGACUGAAUAAAACUGUUAAAAUCACCUACAACUUAUUUUAACCUUUUUCAUGAGAUGCUCUGUACUAUUUAUGUUUAUUUUAUAAAAUGUAGUAAAUUACAUCACAAUCCAGUACAUUCAAGGCACAGACAGGGCAUAGCAUGCAAAUAAGGAAGAGAAAUACCAACAUUGUUUCAUUUUGCCUAUACUCUGUAUACAUCCUCUAAGAGGACUGUCAACUUCCAUGGACAGAGGUUAUAACAAUGAUUUACAUGAAGCUCAGAUGGAGAUGCAGGACAGUCACCGAGUAGAUGGUCUCAUUACAUAACAAAAAUUAUUGUCCCCUACACCUCUUAAAAAUUUUUUUUUCAAAAUCCUGUGUCUUUGUUCACACUAACUGCCUAUUUCUCCGGGACAUAUUCUCGGUAAUUAGAAGCAUCACGGCUAUUUCGUUGUUAUACCUUUAGACCAUUAUCAUAGCCCUUUCUUUUUGGGUUUUGAUUUGACUUUAAUUUUACAGUCUAUCGUGUUAUUCAUUAAAUCUGUGUACUACCCCCCUAUGUUAACGGGGGAUACAUUUACUUGUGAAUUGGUAUCUCUCUCUACACAAGGGUAUUUUAAUAGUGGCUUGAUCUCUCAGUUCAACUUCCAGGGAACACUAUUUUAUUACCAUACUUUCGCCACAUAUACCCAUUUUUCUAACACUAAGUCCAUUAUAUCCCCUCUUAAUCCCUCGGAUCAUUUACACAGACUGUCUACAUUUUUUGCAACAAUUUGCAACUUAUUAUUUAGAUACAGUCAUUUAUUUUGAUCAUUAUUUUGGAUUAGUUACUAUGAGAUAUUGCAUGGUCCUAUUUUACUAUGUUUGUUAUUUAUUUUCUUCGUGUUGUUCCUUAUGAGGGACUAAUAAAGAGUAUAUUGUUCUACCUCUCUAUUUAGGCACUGUCCAUAUAUUUGCAGAGCAGCUUAUCAGUAAAGGAUACAAGGUCUAAUAGGGGGGCAGAUCUUCUUAAUCUUCUACCCUUUAGUCCUUCUCUCUUUCCUUAAUGUCACAUUACUUUAAGAAAUGUUUGCUUAGAAAUCCAAAAAUCACAUUCUUGCCAGUGAGCAAGAUUUUGCAAAAAUCCAGAAAACGUUCUACAUCUCUACAAAGAAAAAUAUAUAUAUAUAUUUCUGUCUAAAGCACACCAAUAUACAGUUCAAAAGAAAUUGUUGCUAGGUAAUCCAGAGUACCACAUUUAAAAAUCAUAAUAUAAAUUAGGUUUCCUUUUUUUCUUCUUUUUUUUUUAAAGAACAUAUAAACAAACAUUUUGCAAAAAGUUUUGGCUACAGUACUGCUCGAUUAAACAAAGAUUUGUUUCCAGCCUCUAAUAAAGGUAUCCUAAAAUAUUAAAGGACCACUAUAGGCACCCAGACCACUUCAGCUCAAUGCAGUGGUCUGGGUGCCAUGUGCCACUAGUGUUAACCCUGCAGCUGUAAACAUAGUUUCAGAGAACCUGCGAUGUUUCACUGAGGGUUAAUCCAGCCUCUAGUGGUUGUCUCACUGGCAGUCGCUAGAGAUGCUUCUGCGAUUCUCACUGUGAAAAUCACAGUGAGAAGACGCUGACGUGCAUAGGAAAGCAUUUCUCAAUGGGCGGUUUGAAUGCGCGCACGGCUCUUGCUGCGCAUGCGCAUUCGGCACUGACGUUGGCUGAGGGAGGAGCGUUCCACAGCGCCUAGGGAGCCCGGCGCUGGAGAAAGGUAAGUGAUUUAACCCCUUCAGCUCAGCUGGAGUGGGACCCUGAGGAGGUGAGGGGGACAUAAAGACCCCAUAGUGCCAGGAAAACGAGUUUGUUUUCCUGGCACUAUAGUGGUCCUUUAAAGAAUAUUUGUAGAUUAAAUGGAUGUAGUUACAGUUUUAUUCAAUUUCAACUUUUAGGCCACAAUAGCCAAAAUUAAAACAUGACUAACUCAGGAUUUUUCCAGUUCGGUUAUUUCAGCCUAAAAUGUUAAUUCACUUUGGAUUCUCAACAACAAUUUACACUUUUAUAUUUGGAUUUUAUAUUCCAAAGAACUAUAUAUCACGACAUAAUGACAUUCCAUGAUGUAUACCAACACCUAGCAAAGCAUCGAAGACUUCUACAUGCUGAAUACUAAAAUACUCUGUCCACGGUGCUGAACAAACCUGUAGUGCUAUUUAUUGAACUUAGAGAUUUGUUUUGGGCCAUAAUGCAAUUUAACCGAAUUCCCAAACUCUGAGCCAAGAUGUACAUCAAUCACAGACCAGCUGAAGCACACAAUGCCGAACGUGUUAGGUUUUAAUAUUAUACUUUUUUUUUCUGAUCCUCUUGUUUUCCUCUCUAUUCGUUACUUUUACUUGGUUGAUCUGUAAACCAAAUGUUUAUUUUGGUGCACUGCAAAAUAGAUGCAUAUUAUGUAGAUAUUUUGCAGCACACUGAUCGGCCCAUUUCUUUUGUCCUUCCGAAUUGGUAUCUCGUUUUCAAACUUCUUUCAAGCCGUCAUUCAGGCAAUAUUUGGGUGUCACGAAUAAUUCCUUAUUUUCAGAAAAGUGGUUCGGUUAAGUGGAAUUUUCCUGCAAUGCACAACUCUGCUAUUUAUUGGUAUUACUGAAACCAUUAUAUUUUACAUGAUAUAUGUAUAUAUUUUUCAAGUAACAAAAGGUAUAUGCUUUAAAAGGCUGAUGAUGAUCUUUGCCAUUAUAUGGCUACAUGCCAAAAAAUAUGCAAGGGAAGGGUUAAAUGUCACUGUUUGCUAACGCUUUUAGUUAAAAAUUCUGUAUGCAUGUAUGAGUCACAGUGACUUCAUUUACCCCCAUUGGGAAUACUGACAGAAAAACACAAAGGGUACAAAAGCUUGUGAAAAAAACUUAAAAUAAAGGCACAGUUCUGGUGAUUUAAUUUAAUUUUUCUAGGUUUUUUCAAUUUUAAUUCUAAUAGAAAAUAUUGACACUUCCAUCUAUCAGAUAAUUAGAUUACAUCAUGAGAUCUGAUUAGAGGAUUUAUCAAGGACAAAGCAUAUAUUGUAAGACUGAUGUAAUUUGUGAACACAUUAAUAAUAUACAGGUCUAUUACUCUAGCAUUACUUCAUCUAAUUGUGAAUGUAUCCCAAUAUGGUGAAUACAAGAUCCUAUUUACUCAACUCAAUUUAAUUUAAUCUACUCUAGACUUAGGCACAACAAGAAGAUUCUGCUCGGUUGAACAAUUCUUUCAGAAAAAAAAAAAAAGGAUAUUUUUCAGGACACCCAGAAUUCCGCUAAAUAUUUGAUCGGCUCAGCAGAAUUUCGGAACCGAGAUUUAGAUUUGGGAAACGAAUCAGAAGAACAAACAAGAGACAUAUAUAAGAAAAUAAGACUGCUGAAAAAUAUAUACAUAAUAUGAUAAUAUGUAUAUUGUUUGCAGUACACUUAUAGGAGUGUUUUCCCAAUAUAUUUGGUUCAUAGAUGUAUGGUAGAGAAGUAAUAAUGGUCACAUCUCAAGUUAGGACCUUUUGUUACAAUUAUGAGACCUAAACGUUAUAGUAUACCAUUUUAAACAGUUCAGUGUUUCCAAACGUGUGACAGCAGUUCCAGAAAAGGUCCUUUAAUGAGCAAAUGGUUCGUUCUUGUGGUAUAUUAAUGCUAUGAAUGUCCUGUUUAUUCUUACUGUCAAAUGUAACUGUGUUUGAAUUGCCUCAAUGAAAACCAUUUCAAAUAAAAUGAGGAUGCAUUUGGAAUUUGAUAUUCUAUAAGCAGAAAUCAAAAUAUUUUAGGCCAUGUAAUGGAUAACAUCUACAACAUGAUGUAUAUGUAGAUGCAUGUCUGGAUGUACACUAUUUCAGCUGUAUAAAGUAAAGACAAAUAAGUUGAUGGGGCCUGAUGGGAUACACCCAAAUUUAUUAAAAGAACUUAGUGCUGUACUAGCAAAACCAUUAGCUGAUUUAUUUAAAGGGACACUAUAGUCACCACCACCACUACAGCUUAAUGUAGUUGUUCUGGUGAGUAUAAUAUCUCCCUUCAGGCUUUUUUCACACAAACACUGCCUUUUCAGAGAAAAUACAGUGUUUACAUUGCCCCUAGGGACACCUCCAAGUUGCCACUUGUCAGAUGGCCAGUGGAGAUGCUUUCUAGGGCAUCAUUGCCACGUAGCGUCUCCACGCUCUGCAUGGGGAGGUUGAAUUUUCCUCAUAGAGAUGCAUUGAUUCAAGUCAUCUCUAUGAAUAAGUGCUGAUUGGCCAAAACAGUGUUUGGCCCCACCCCCAUCCUGCCUCCUUGCCGAUUUUAGCCCUACGGGAAAGCAUUGGAUUGGCUAAAAAUCGGCAAUGGAAAUAAGGUGAGUUUUAAUUCCUUGUAAGGGGGUCGAGGGGGGGCAAGCUAUAGGGUCAGGAAUACAUGUUUGUGUUCCUGACCCUAUAGUGUUCCUUUAAUCAAUCAUUGUUAACGGGAGUAGUCCUGAAUGAUUGGAAAUUAGCAAAUGUUGUACCCAUUCACAAGAAAGGUAAUAGGGAGGAGUCGAGCAACUAUAGGCCAGUAAGCCUUACUUCAGUAGUGGGGAAAGUGACGGAAACCAUGUUAAAGGAUAGGAUUGUUGAACAUCUAAAAACACAUGGAUUCCAAGAUCAGAGACAACAUGGGUUUACUUCAGGGAGAUCAUGCAAAACUAAUCUUAUUGAUUUUUUUUGAUUGGGUAACUAAAAUAAUAGAUCAGGGUGGUGCAGUAGACUUUGCUUACCUAGAUUUCAGUAAGGCUUUUGACACUGUUCCACAUAGAAGGCUUAUCAAUAAAUUGCAAACUUUAAGUUUGGAUUCCAAUAUUGUUGAAUGGAUAAGGCAGUGGCGGAGUGACAGGCAACAGAGGGUUGUAGUCAAUGGAGUAUAUUCGAAGCAUGGUCUUACCAGUGGAUCUGUACUUGGACCCAUGCUCUUCUAUAUUUUUUAAUGAUAUUGCAGAAGGCCUUGAUCGUAAGGUAUGUCUUUUUGCUGAUGAUACUAAGAUAUGUAACAGGGUUGAUGUUCCAGGAGGAUAAGCCAAAUGGCAAAUGACUUAGGUAAACUAGAAAAAUGGUCAGAGUUGUGGCAACUGACAUUUAACGUGUAUAAGUGCAAGAUAUUGGGCGUAAAAACCCCAAAGGCAGAGUACAGAAUAUUUGAUAGAGUCCUAACCUCAACAUCUGAGGAAAGGGAUUUACGGGUGAUUAUUUCUGAUGACUUAAAGGUAGGCAGACAAUGUAAUAGAGCAGCAGGAAAUGCCAGCAGAAUGCUUGGUUGUAUAGGGAGAGGUAUUAGCAGUAGGGAGAGGUAUUAGCAGUAGAAGUAUUAUUUUACUGAGAGGGUAGUGGAUGCAUGGUAUAGCCUUCCAGCUGAAGUGGUAGAAGUUAACACAGUGAGGGAGUUUAAGCAUGUGUGGAAUAGGCAUAAGGCUAUCCUAGAGAACAAUGCAUGUAUUAAGAAAGUUGGGCAAACUAGAUGGGCCGAAUGGCUCUUAUCUGCCGUCACAUUCUAUGUUUCAAUGUUUCUAUAUCAGUUACAACAUUAAAACCGCUGGCAUGUGAAGUGAAUAACAUUGAUUAUAUCAUUACAAUGGCACCUGUCAAGGGGUGGAAUAUUUUAGGCAGCAAGUGAACUGUCAGUUCUUGCAUUUCAUGUGUCGGAAGCAGAAGAAAUGGGCAAAUGAAAAUAUCUGAGUGACUUUGACAAGGGCCAAAUAGUGAUGGCUUGAUGACUGGGUCAGAGCAUCUCCAAAAUUGCAAAUCUGGUGGGGUGUUCGUGGUAUGCAGUGGUUAGUACCUAUCGAAAAAGAGGGGCAAGGAAGGUCAACAAUAGCUGCAUAGCCACAGACAAAGUGUCCACCACCAAAAGUGUCUUCAAUGGGGACGUGAGCAUCAGAUCUGGACCAUAGAGGAAUCGAAGAUGGUUGCUUGGUCUGAUGAAUCACAUUUUUAUUCAGAUCAAGUGGAUGGCCAGGUGCGUGAGCUUCAUUUAUCUGGGGAAAAGAUGACAGCAGGAUACAUUAUGGGAAGAAUGCAGGCCAGUGGAGGCAGUGUUAUGCUCUGGGCAAUGUUCUGCUGGAAAACCGAGGGUCUUGGCAUUCAUGUAGAUGUUAAUUUGACAUGCACCACCUACCUAGAGAUUGUUGCAGAUCACAUGCACCCCUUCAUGUCAGUGGUGUUCCCUGAUGGCAGUGGCCUCUUUCAGCAGCAUAAUGAACCCUUUCAAAUUGCAGAAAUUGUUCAGGAAUGGUUGCAGGAACUAGACAAAACAUUCAAGGUGUUCUCUUGGCCUCCAAAUUUCCCAGAUCUCAAUUUGAUUGAGCAUCUGUGGGAUGUGCUGGAACAACAAAACUGAUCCAUGAAGGCCACCCCUCGCUACUUGCAGGACUUAAGAUCUGUUGCUAAUAUCUUGGUGCCUGAGACCACAGGACAUGUUCAGAGGUCUCGUGGAGUCCAUGCAUCAGAGCUGUUUUGGAAGCAUGAUGGGAACGUACAUAAAAUUAGCCAAGUGGCUUUCAUGUUGUGGCUGAUCAGAGUAUGUCCAUUGCUCAGCAUUCAGGUCUGUCUUGUAUAGAAAGGUGCUCAAAAAUUAGAAAAUAAUAAAUGCACAGCGAAAAAACCAGUUCUGUGACCGCAUUCUAACAUGAUGGACCUUUCGGAAAGUAUAAAUGUAGAAAGAUCUCCAAGUAAAUUAUUCUAUACAGAAAGGAUACCCAAUGUUGGCACUUCAUACAUUUCUGGACUUUGUCUCCAUAAUGCUCAGUCAGCUAUUGGAGAUGGGGUCUACAAACAUCUGUAGUCACAAGGCUAACAGUCUUUUCACUAAUGAAAAUAAGAAUGUUAAUAUUGAUCUGCUUACACUUAACAGAAUAUUUACAUCUAAAUUACUGUCAUAUCAGCCUAUCGAUAUAAUAACUGUUCUUCCUAGUAAACCAACUGAUAGAAACUUUAUAAACUUGAAAGCUCGACUGUUGUAAACAGAGUAUAUAUCAGCUUAGUGGACAAGCAGUACCACACAGCAACUCAUUUUAUUUGCAUCGAUUGCACAGUGAAAUUUAAUUCUCUUGUGCAAGUAGAAUCGUUAAGGCUGGGACAUUGUGCUGGGAAAUAAUUUAAAGAAUUUGAAUACCAAUGAAUGAGCUAACACAAUAAAAUAUUACUUCUUCAAAUACAGGAAACUAGAGGCCUUUAAACCAUUUCAACAAAAUAAAUGGUAAAUUGUACUCUAUACAAAAUCCGUUUUAAUGAAAUGAAUUGAUUCCCAAUUUAACACAUUUUACUGAAAGCUCGACUCCUACCUUUUUAUUCCAUAACCUCCCUUCAAAAAAAACCCCCCAACCUUACAACCUUUGUGUAAUCUGUGCGGUACAGUUCUAGAAAUGCCUAUAUAAUCUGUGUCAAACAAACAAUGUUGCAUUAUACACUGAAAGAGAUUUAUCAGAAGCACAUUGUAAUUUCUUCCGAACACAAUUGCGUUAUGUCUCUAUUCAGAAGGUACAGUUUCAGUGAAACACAUUUAUUUGUCAUGAGGGGAAGAAAAUGAGAAUACAAAAGAAAAAUUGUAACUGUAACGGCAUAUGCAAAUUUCACUAUCAAGCUGUGAAUGUCUUUACAAUGAGUUUUUUUUUUUUUUCAAACACCGUUCUAUAGUUUGUCUAUAUAAUAUUAACGUGACACGCGGGAUUAAGACUAGGGGCAGCAAGAGUGCUUAGCUACCAUUUAGAGGUCAUUAUGGGUCACAGAGUGCCGGGGUGGAUAUACUGUAAUAUAGUCCUUUGAUUUAUUUACGAUUCAUUUAAAAAAAGAGUGAAAUAAACGUAGAUUCAAACAUCCGAGAGCUCUGAGUUGAUUUAUGAAACGUAAAAUUAUAUAUAUUUUUUUAUUAAAUAUUAAGGUUUCAGUUAAGACGGUUAGUCUGUUUUUUCAUUUUGUUCUUCAUUUUACAUGAUAAAUAUACAAGCAAGUUCUAUCUAUUUAAGUAUCUAUUGUGUACAUUUAGUUGUGUUUACAGAAGUGUAUAAUGUUAGCGUUACACUUCAGCAAUUGGUACAGGAGCAGAGGAAAUGUAGCCAAGCCAUCAGAGAGACCAACAGCUGUAUUCAUCCAUUUGAUCAUUAUCUAGAACUACUAGACUUGUGCAUUCGGUUUUAGGCGAUUUGCAAUUUAUCAGAAUUUUGGUUAAGGGCAAUUCGUCCCAUUUCCCAAAUUACAAAAUGCUAUACGGACAAAUCAUGACACGGACAAUCGACAAGCUGUUUGUUUUGUUAUUUAGAUGUAUAUAUGGUCAGAGCUGUGGCAACUGAAAUAUAUAUAUAUUUACACUUAAAAUUAUAAACGCAACAUUUUUGUUUUUGAUGAGCUGAACUCACCUGUGCAAUAAUCCUGCUGUCUAAUCAGCAUCUUGAUAUGCCACACCUGUGAGGUGGAUGGAUUAUCUCGGCAAAGGAGAAGUGCUCACUAACACAGAGUUAGACAGAUUUGUGAACAAUAUUUGAGAGAAAUAGGCCUUUUGUGUACAUAGAAAAAGUCUGAGAUCUUUGAGUUCAGCUCAUGAAAAAUGGGGGCAAAAACAAAAGUUUUGCGUUUAUAAUUUUGUUCAGUGUAAAUAUAUAUAUAUUUCAUUUUCCUUUGUAUUUACCCGUUAUCUGACUGUAAAGUGGUAGGGUUACACUACUACGUGAAAUUUUAAUAAUUUGAUUAGAAAUGUUAUAUAUUUUGUCCAAACAUAUAGGGAAUUAUCUUUCUAGAACUCCUGAGACCCAACGUAACAAUUCUUGAGUGAAGGAUAAUUGAGGAUUGACAUAGUAUAGAAACCCACAUACAGCCCCCAGAGAAGCAUUUUUUCUUUAACCCCUUAAGGAAACAUGACAUGUGUGACAGCAUGAUGGGUUCCCUUUUAUUUCUGAGGUUUGGUCCUUAAGGGGUUAAAGAGACUAACCUUCACAUAAUGAUGUGAACUUUGACUUGCUGUACAGUCCAGCCUCCAGGGAAGGUUUUUUGUUGAACGUAGUUUUAGAAGUGAUUUGAUUUUGUGAUAUAAUAAAAGGCACUAUUUAACCUUCUGACAGUUGACAAGGAAUUGUCAUGAAGUGAAAUGCAGUAUUACAGCUUCCGGGAAUAGAACAUAACAUGACAGUAAGUGAACACUGAGGAAUUUAUUCACUAAGCAAAAAAUUGUGGUGAAUUGAAAGCCAAACUAAAAAGUUUUGCCUACAAUAGUCGAGUUGUGGCUACAGCCAAGAUAAUUCUUUUAGAUCAAAUUUUGUAAUUAUGUUUUCAACUUACCACCAUUCUAUGUUUACAGAAUAACACCCAUAGUUAGGGCCGUCUUUCACCAUGGGCACGCUGGGCAUGAAAAGAUCUCCCACACCAGCUCAUGUCCCUUUGUUAGAGAGGAGAGAGAGGGGGGAGGACCGGAGACAAAAGGAGGGACCUGGGAGGAGAUAGCUCCUCCCGAAAACAGGCUGUGUGCAGCAUUGCCGUGCGUUGCCAUGGCAAUGCUCCACACAACACUCAGCUUGGGAGGAGUGAAGAUAGCCUGCAGCCAGAGGAACCACCGGACCACCAUGGCUGGCAGUGUCCCCCCCUUCCUUCAUCAACGGUAAGAAGAAAGGUUGGGGGGGGGGCAUAAAGAUUUUAUUAAUAAUGCACAUUUAUUAUUUAAAAUAAUCAAACAAACAAGAAAACCUUUGCUCCAUGCACCCCUCACACUCUGCAACACACACACACCACUCACCCCUAACAUACAGCACCUCUCUCACACACAGCACCCCUCUCUCACACACACACACAGCACCCCUCUCUCACACACACACACAGCACCCCUCUCUCACACACACAGCAACCCAUCUCUCACACACAGCACCCCUCACACACACACAGCACAUUUCACACAUACAGCACCUCUCACACACACACACACACAGCACCUCUCACACAGCACCCCUCCACACACAUACACUGCAGUCUGUGUGUAUUCAGCAGUCUGUGUGUAUGCAUUGUAUGUAUCCAUUUCAUUUGUUGGAGGUACCAAUAAAAUUAAAUAUAAGCUUAAUUUUAUCAAUAAUUUACGUUUUAAUUCCUGUUAGAUGGUACUGCCCAUAGUCUGCUCUUCUGAUACCAAGAGAGACUUUCUGAUGCCCUAAUGCCAAACAAAUCACAAAUGGAAUGUUCUACCAGGUAACUCAAAAACUCCACUUCAUAUUGAUAUGAAGAACUCAUCUUGGUAUGGUGAUAUAAAACAAAUCAGGAGAGCUUUGGGGUUUGUUUCUUUCACAGUUUAUUUGCUGUGCUUAGAUAAUAAUAGCUUAGAAGAAAUGUAAUAUAAUACAGCAGUUUAUAGGUUCCCCCCCCAUGUGUGAUGGUACUUGAUAUAAACAACAGAAGUGGCUUGUGGGGCCCAUAGGGGCUAAAUUGUCAUAAUUUCUGUUAUAUCACUUUUUCGAUUAUCCUCUCUAAACACUUAUAUGUCUUUCAUUCUUUCCAGAUAUGUGUUGAGAUGAAAACAUAAGCUGUUAUCUUACACUUUAAAUAGAUUUCUGUUUUAUGGUAUCGUCAAGGUAAAAUGGUUUAUAAGCAAUUAUAUUCUUAUUAACAUCUAGUUCUGGCUAAUAGCUCUCAUCAGACACAUUGUAUUUUAUUUUCUCUGCUGGUUUUCUACAUAUACAAAUUCUACAUUUUAGCCAUAUUGGAAAAAUAGAGAAAAAAAAAACAUUUAAAAAAUAACACUAAUAUUAAAAAUAGAUUUUUUAAUUUGUUCAUUGUUAGUGUUGCGGAGGUUUAGAUUGUGUUCCCCUCCACCCUCUGUAAAAUAAAAAUGAAAUAAACUGUUAUUUCUAAUUACUGGUAAGUCAGGACCAGGCAGUCGCUCAUCCUCUCCUCUAUGUGGUUGAUCUCUGGCCAAAUGAGAUGCUUCUCACAGAGAAGCACUGUGAACCUACUAGGCAUGCGUGGCAGUCACCACACUCUGCUAAUUAGAUGCUUUUUAUAUAUAGAAGCUAUUAAUCCAAUGCUUUUCAAUAAGCAGCAUUCAAAACAUUUGGUGGCGCUGAACAUCUGCUAUCUGGCUGACAUUCUGAUUAACCAGCACUAGAGGCAUGCUUACUGACAAAUCUAAACAUUGCCAUAUCUUAUAAACAAUUAUAUUAACUAUUGCCGUAGUGUGGGGACCGGAUCUUCACACCAAAAGCACAACAAUAAAAACACAAAAAUUCUAAAAUACUCUGCUCAAACACUCGCUCUUUCAAGGUAGCAGAAAUCACAGUUCUGGUUAAAAAAACAAAAGCCUAGGUACAGUCACUAGACAUGGAGAAUAAUCAAGUCAAAUUCAAGAUCCUGAUAACAAAAAGGUUAACAGUAACCAUGAACGAGCAAUGACUUGGCAAUCAUUAUAAGUUUGUAUAGGGCCAAAUUGAACUAAACGUCAAUUAAACUGAGCCACAAGAUUAAAGUGCAUUUGUUUGGCUCCCUUUUGUUGAGCCAAAUUGAUGUAGGUAAGGUCUUUCAGAAGGAAAGCAUCAUUGGAGUAAACUGCAUGGGAUACACUGCCCCUAGUGGCUGUAGAGGCCAUAGAAAAAUCAAUGUGGGACACUGCUGGCCUAUGAAAGGGCCAGCAGGUCAGUGGAUCUUACAAACAGGGGCUCAUGAGUCCCCUUAUGUACUGUACUGACAGCCACCUAAUAUAAUGUGUUUUUCACUAUUUAGUACAGCUCAUUUCCCACUUCCUUUUUGCCAGUAAUUGUUUACUGUGUAUUGGGAAAAAUUACAAUCGGAGAAAUGAAGGCUACAAAAUGUCACUGCAUGGACCAAGGACAAAUUAUUGUAUCCCUAUCUGUUACAGCUUAUUAAAAAAAUCACCACAAUGUCGAUCCUUACUCUGCAAGAUAUUGCUGCCUUGUCAAUUUAGAAAGACACUCGUGUCAUACUAGCUAAAGGCUGGUGAUAGGGUUAGGAAUAAGGUUAGUGAUAGGGUACUUGAUCGGGUAAGUGAUCGGGGAAGUGAUAGGGUAAGUGAUAGGGUUAGGGAUAGGGAUAAGGUUAGUGAUAGGGAUAAGGUUAGUGAUAGGGAUAAGGUUAGUGAUAGGGAUAAGGUUAGUGAUAGGGAUAAGGUUAGUGAUAGGGAUAAGGUUAGUGAUAGGGAUAGGUUUAAGGAUAGGGAUAGGGUUAGAAAUAGGGUUAGGGAUAGGGUAAGUGAUCGGGUAGGUGAUAGGGUUAGGGAUAAGGUUAGUGAUAGGGAUAGGGUUAGUGAUAGGGAUAAGGUUAGUGAUAGGGAUAAGGUUAGUGAUAGGGAUAAGGUUAGUGAUAGGGAUAGGGUUAGUGAUAGGGAUAAGGUUAGUGAUAGGGAUAAGGUUAGUGAUAGGGAUAAGGUUAGUGAUAGGGAUAAGGUUAGUGAUAGGGAUAGGGUUAGUGAUAGGGAUAGGGUUAGAAAUAGGGUUAGGGAUAGGGUAAGUGAUCGGGUAGGUGAUAGGGUUAGGGAUAAGGUUAGUGAGAGGGAUAAGGUUAGUGAUAGGGAUAGGGUUAGUGAUAGGGAUAGGGUUAGUGAUAGGGAUAGGGAUAGGGUUAGUGAUAGGGAUAGGGUUAGGGAUAGGGAUAGGGAUAGGGUUAGUGAUAGGGAUAGGGUUAGUGAUAGGGAUAGGGAUAGGGUUAGUGAUAGGGAUAGGGUUAGUGAUAGGGAUAGGGUUAGAAAUAGGGUUAGGGAUAGGGUAAGUGAUCGGGUAGGUGAUAGGGUUAGGGAUAAGGUUAGUGAGAGGGAUAAGGUUAGUGAUAGGGAUAGUGAUAGGGAUAGGGUUAGUGAUAGGGAUAGGGUUAGGGAUAGGGAUAGGGUUAGUGAUAGGGAUAGGGUUAGGGAUAGGGAUAGGGAUAGGGUUAGUGAUAGGGAUAGGGUUAGGGAUAGGGCUUAGGGAUGGUUUAGUCACACUGAUGAUGUCCGUGACCUAUGUUAAAAUUAGGAAACUGUUUCUUUGAAUCUAAAAAAAUUAAAUCUGGCAAUACCUCACAAAGUUUAAUUCGCUUGUUAGUACGUUUAUUUGGCAGUUUUGUAGUGCUGCCUUUAAUUUGUGUGUCUCUACAGGUCUAAAGGAUGUAAUGCCAUCCCAUUAAUAAUUGGGCUAAAGGAUGUUUAUCAUCAGGUUCACAGAGAAGAGGAAAAAAAAUUUUUUAUAAUUGUAUUUAAUAAUUCAGUAAAAUAAAACCAGUUGCUCUGCAGACAUGUUGGACCCUAUUAAAAGCUUGUCUGGACUCUACGACCCUUGGUUGAACGCUACGGGUCUUUAUUAUGACCAGCAAAAUAUCAAAUGUAACACUGAAUUUAAAUGAUCAAAUGUCAGAGGCGCAUGAGAUUUAACAACACAACAGAUUCAACUGCUGCACAGUGCAAAAUACGUCUAACACUUCCUCUACCAUGGAGACCUCAUGUCAUUGGGGGGUGGGGGGGGGAAGGAGUGAUCAGCAGGAAAUUAAAACAACUAAUUACAAUUAGUGAACUAAAAAAAGACGAACAUGCGUCUGCUAUCCAUUGUGUUACUGUACACUGAAUUAUUUCACAGAUCAGGUUUGCAGAACAGGAUAGAAAGAUAAUGUGCUAGUCUAUGCUGUAUAGAAAAAAAAUCUUCAUUCACAGNNNNNNNNNNNNNNNNNNNNNNNNNNNNNNNNNNNNNNNNNNNNNNNNNNNNNNNNNNNNNNNNNNNNNNNNNNNNNNNNNNNNNNNNNNNNNNNNNNNNCUGUCACAUUAUUUCACUGAUCAGAUGUUCUCAACCGCCUGCCUUUUUAAAUCUGUCAUAGUAGAAGAGAAUAUGCUUUAUGUUAAAUAGAUACGGAAUGGAAUUCCUCUCUUAUUGUGCCCUAUUCUUAAUAUGUGGAACUUGGAAAAGUUAAUUCCUAAACUGUUACAAGAAUUUUAGGAAACGUGUCUGUAAUUUAUAUGUAUGGAACAUCUGCUCUCUUGAUGUUUGGACAUUCAUAUUUGCAGGAUUAUUCACACAACUUUGAAUUCUAGUGAACUGUUUAGUAAAAUGUAGGAAAAAACCUCUCAGUUAUAUGUCACAAACUAUGAAUACUAAUCCAAAGUUACCCCCCUUACACAGAGGGAUGUGUGUAACAAUAAGUGCUUAAACGUGAAUAAAAACAUUUACAAGCAGCUCUAUAAACCUGUGUGGAAAUAUCCUCUUUUCCACAAGACAAUAAUAUGAAUUACAGUGCAGUGUAAGUGAAAAAGACCUACAAUUAUAAGUGGAGCGCUAAAACAGAUAUAAAGUUUACCAAGCAUAACUUGAUUCCUCAUGUUCAAGGGCAUAAAAAACAAAAGGUACAAUAUAGUGCAGAUGGUAUUUUAAAAGUGCAAUCCAAUGAAUAAUAUAGCAGACAGAACACUCACAUAUUAAGAAGCCUGUAUAUAAAUACUGGCUCCGUAUUUAGGCCUGUGUGCUUAUUUUGGUAGCACCACCCUUCCGCUUCGGCUUCGAGUAGUUCUCAUAUAUAAAACAUAAAGGGAGAGCGAACCAAUGUGCAGACUGUAGCAGUAAAGUUAACGAGUAUAAAAUAGUAAAUGUGGUGCUCACCUGGUCCUGAGCCUAUAGGCCCCGACUCCGAGGUGUAUAGGUAUAGUGCCAAUUUAAAUAGGGAUGGCACUGUCCAUAUGGAGACUCCUGGAAGCUCCAAGAAAGGACUUGAGCAGGAUAGCUUGAGUAAAUUAACAAAAUUUAUUGGUAUACAAUAACAAAUAAAGAAUAAAAAAAUAGAAAAGUCCUUCAAAAUGGCCAAUACACGUUUGACUCUCAAUAGAGCUUCCUCAGUCAGCUGUAGUGAUGGUUCUCUGAAUCCUCCAUUUUAAAUGUCCUUAAUGUCCUUCUCCUUUAAUGAUCCCAAUACAGUUCGUCCAAUCACAGUGAUGAAUAGUUAUUUUCCAUGUGUAGGGUGGAUGGUGUGUUCUGUAAACUGUAAUGUUAAUUGGCCGAAUUUUCAGCGCUUUUAUUUACUUGUAAUAUCAUUGGUGGGCAGUGGUGGUUGGCAGAAGUGUCAGGAGCUCACCGGGAUGGUUGGCAGAAGUGACGUCACGGACCUCCGUGAACGUCAUCUGGCCGCCACCCAGAAGUAACUCCCAGACAAUCCAACUCUGCUGCACGAGUAUCGUGCAUCCGGUCAUAGGAAGGGGACUCUAAUGGGUGGAAGGGGGUGAAUCCUCUGAAAAGAUGAUAUGUAUGCACAUCGGCUCAUCCCGCCCUUUGGGCGUGCCGAUAUGCUUGCAUACUCCUCCUCUCUCCAACACAGCGCACGGUCGUGAAAAAGCAUUAACAAAUAUGGAAAAAGGGGGACAUAAUACAGUGAAUGAAUAGUGGAGGAAAAAAAGGGGGGGAAAGAAGGGAAACAUAUGAUUAAAACUUAAACUUAUGUUUAUAGAGUUUUAAUGUGAUGUCCAUAUUGUAUAUCUAUGUAAAGUGACAUUACUGUGCAUAAAGUGCAUUUUAUGUAUAGUGUCUAUUUAAAGAGAUAUAAUAGUGGUUGUAUUAAGUGUUAAAUUUAGAUUAUUACAUGCAAAGAUGGGUAUCCUGAUGGAUAUAUUUUAGUGUAUCCAAUAAAAUCAAUAUUAAAUUAAUGUUGAUAGGAUAUUAGUAAUAAAGUGGUGAUAAUAAAUUAUUAACGAUAAACAACAAAUUUUAAAUUUAAAAUGUAAUAAAUUUGGGAUGGGGUUAAAACAAGAUGUUAAAGGAUGACAUAUAUAAAGUGUGCUUAUCUAAAAUAAUACAUUUUGUUAUUUUACUCAAGAUAUCCUGCUCAAGUCCUUUCUUGGAGCCUCCAGGAAUCUCCAUAUGGGCAGUGCCAUCCCUAUGUAAAUUGGCACUAUACCUAUAGGCUCAGGACCAGGUGAGCACCAAAUUUACUAUUUUAUACUUGUUUACUUUACUGUUACAGUCUGCACAUUGGUUCACUAUCCCUUUAUGUUUUAUCUAUGAGAACUACUCCAAGCCGAAGCGGAAGGGUGGUGCUACCAAAAUAAGCACACUGGCCUAAGUACGGAGCCAGUAUUUAUACACAGGCUCCUUAAAAUGUGAGUGUUCUGUAUGCUAUAUUAUUCAUUAGAUUGCACUUUUAAAAUACCAUCUGCACUAUAUUGUACCUUUUGUUUUUUUAUGCCCUUGGACAUGUACUCCACACCAUACUACUGAAUCAAGUUACGCUUGGUAAGCUUUAUAUCUGUUUUAGCGCACCACUUAUAGGUGUAGGUCUUUUUCACUUACACCGCACUGUAAUUCAUAUGUCACAAACUGGUUGAUUUAAUAUUUGCACAUUUCAUUAAACUAUCAAGAAGAGGAUAAAAUCAAUUUUGAAACCCAAUCUAAAGGUGCUAAAUAAGCUCUGUAGAAAAAUAGGUCUAGUAAUACUACAACUAUUUGCAACUAUUGCAACUUGUAAAGGAUCCCUGCAUACGUGCAGCGAUGAUCCUUGCAGCUUCUCCCGAAAUCCCGCUGGAACAGAGUGAUUAUAGCUUCCAAUUCCCCAAACAUGAGUCGAGACUUCAUGAAGGGGUAAAACGAUCUGAUUUACUGUGGGCUACCCGCCCGGAAUUUAUGCAGGUCUUCCACCUGGUGGACACUCCCCUAGGGGACCAGAUGGAAGACUGGGACAGAAGUAAUACAGUAGCCAAUCACAGUGGCUAUAGGAUAAACACUCCCCUUUACACAAAUCACUCCUUCUUUCCCAUCCUGGAGAUAAUUAGAUUAAGGUAGCAAAGAGGGCUGUAAUUAUCUCCAGAAGUAAAGAAACAUGCCUUUUUAUAUUUAGCAAAAACAGAAUAAAAAUACAUAACUUUCUCUUUAUAUAACAUAAACUUUAAGUUCCACACAUCCCCAGAUAGCUUGGAUCUGAGUGCAUAUUCUAGGCGAAUAGCGCUCAGAUCCCACGAACACAGGUCCCAGAAUCGUCGACUGAAGUUUGGCUGUCCUUGGCCAUUCGUGUAUUUGUAACCGAUUGCCAGUCCUCUAUUAUGCUAUCUGGGGUCAGCCACGUUCGCAUACUUUAAUGCGCGAAUGAACUAUUAUCCCUUCCUUCGAAUGGUUCUACCGUAUGAACGAGGAUGGGUGAAGGUAGCAGCGGCGUUCGACAAAAUAGGUCGCUGAAAUCAGUUCCAGGGAAUCCUCGCCAUUUGCCGCUGCGCGUUCGACAAAACCAAAAUGGCGAUUGCCACGUGUUCGGGAGGUGAAUGCGGACCACCCGCUAUACCAAUUAGUUUGUGGUUAACCGCAACAGUCAGGGUGGUCAAUGAGCGCCACACGACCUCAGUGGGAGGUCGGUGGUUCGGUAGUUUGUUCGCCUUAUUUGACAAUUUCACAAAAUCCUAUGGUAAUGUUCCAAAUAACCGAACAGGCUUGUUCGUGACGGCUGUGAAUAGGGGAUUUCGUUACACAACUAUCUUUAGGUCAGACAUCAAAAAUAAAUAUGUAAAUGUUUGCACAGUGCUGGAAUUCAUAACCAAGAUCAUCAUCACAUCAUUCUAAUAGGCCCCCAAGCCCUAAUGUCAUCCAUAAAUCUGGGAUCCUUUUUUUAAUAGUAUUGUGACACUGACCCUUGUUCCAAAAAAGUUAACCACAAAUGCUGUCAAUCCUUUCAAAUUAUGUUUGGCACACUUUUUACUCCCCUAUUCAACUCCCUUUGCAUGUCAUCCCAUUACCUAUACCCAGAGUAAGGUAGAAUUAAUUUAGAAUAGUCUUAGCUGUUGAAUGUCAAUAUAUUAUGGGAGAGAGCACAUAGGGACCCACAGGGCUGCCAUCAAAUUUUUUUUGGGGCCCCUGACACAGUUCAAAGUCUGGGCCCCCCGGACCUGCCCCAGAGUCUGCCCACGGGGCCCAUUCUGAGUCCGCCCACAAGGAUGCUCUGUCUGUGUGGUGUGUAAAAUGGAUACAGAGUGCACAUUUGAAUAAUGGAUGUAGUUUUGUGUGUUUUAGAUAAAGUGUGUGUUUGUUAGUGAAUGCAGAGUGUGUUUGUGUUGUAGUUUUAGUGUGUGUAUGGUGAAUGCUGUGUGUGUUUGUGUUGUGGUUUUAGUUUGUGUAUGGUGAAUGCAGUGCGUGUUUGUGUUGUGGUUUUAGUGUGUGUAUGGUAAAUGCAGUGUGUGUUUGUGUUGUGGUUUUAGUGUGUGUAUGGUGAAUGCAGUGUGUGUAUGGUGAAUGCAGUGUGUGUGUUUUAGUUUUAGUGUGUGUAUGGUGUAUUCAGUGUGUGUUUGUGUUGUGGUUUUAGUGUGUGUAUGGUGAAUGCAGUGUGUUUGUGUUGUGGUUUUAGUGUGUGUAUUGUCUAUGCAGUGUGUGUUUGUGUUGUGGUUUUAGUGUGUAUAUGGUGAAUGCAGUGUGUGUUUGUGUUGUGGUUUUAGUGUGUGUAAAAUAUGGGGCUGCAUAGGGGGGGGGAGCCUUUUUGUAUAUGACCCACAUUUAUUUGACACACUAUUUUAUUCCCCCCUCCCUGCUUCUUACCUGACUAGGGAGGGGGUAGAUUGCAUCUCUGGUGGUCUGGUGGAGGGAGCCAGCCGCUGUAUAAUGCAGACGGGGGCCAGCCAGCACCUGUGCCUGUUUGCCGCGCGGAGCAUUGCCAUGGUAACCCGUGACAACACUCUGCCGGCCGCAGAGCUCACGAGACUUACAGGCACAGGAGCUGCUGGAGAGUUAAGAUGGUGCUGGCUGGCCCCCGUCUGCAUUGUACAGGUAGCCGGGGCCCAAGGUGAACAUAUAGAUUGUGAUAAUCGCUAUCUAUAUGUGCACAUAUAAAAUGUGGGGCCUGGGACUCCCAGAGCAGUCAGGGCCCCCCAGGACCGCCAAGCCCAUGACAACCGUUAUGGUUGUCAUGCCCUGAUGGCGGCCCUGGCUCCAACUGCGGGUUAAUUUGAAGCCAGUUAAACAGAUAGCAGUGGUUCCAAAAUGCAGUCAAGUACUGAAACAACAGUAUGGUUACACUGAGCACCUUUUGCAUCGAUUCAACCUACAGAAUGUAAUUAUUGUAAAUGUAAUGUUUAAAUGUAGGACUACUUAACAUGGACCUAAAUGCUUGCCUCCUGUACUAAAUGAUGGGGUGCACAUUAGAUGACAUUCUCAAAAAAAAGAAAUUUUUUUUAAAAGUUUUCAAAACUCAAAGCUAGUUUUACAGAACAUUAACCCUUACAUAUCUGAAAACAAUAUAUUUCAAUUAAUUGAGUCUGAAAUAUUAAGAAAAAUAUUGGGGAGCUGAACCCUUGGGAAAAAUCAAAAUAUCGUCAGCAGGAAAAUUAAAGCUUGCCGGGGAAAUCAGACUUAUUGGUUUGGAUCCCUUUGUCAGCAUAAGCCUUUCAUUUACACCUUAGUAUAAGCCUUGACAGCUCUGGGCUAGCUGUCAGAUCAAAUGUAUCAAAAGUACAAUUUCCAGCCAAGUGAACAGAAAAAAAUAUAUAUAUCACACCUUACCUAAAAUGUCAAUUACAAAAGAUCAAAGGCAUUUUAAGAAUUAGUGCUCUAAAAAAAACUCCCAUUGGAAAGAAAUGCCGUCAGAAAGAAAGAUGUCUUGUGGUGAAUAUUAGGUGACCUACUGCUUGGAGAAAAGUCUCAAAAAAAGGAUCACACGAUGUGCGUUACUAACUGGGACAAAGGUUAUAGUAUCAGGUGGUAGUCAUCAAGACAAGCAACAGUCAGACAUCAAUCACAGAUUAUUCAGGAGGUUUAAAGGACUUUGUUUACAGAAUGACUGUCUGAUGGGCUGCGAUAGAAGAUAUUGAUGACCUAAAUGUCAAAAAUAUUGUAAGCAAUCAAAAAAAAAAAAAAAAUGUCCUUAGCUUAAUUGAAGGCCAACAAACAAACUUAUAAUACUAUGUUAUUGUUGAUAUUAUCCACCAUUUGUCACGUCUGUAUUGUGGUGUGUGCCAAUAGACUGGAUAAACUGGAUAGACUGACAGACUGGAUAAACUUUGUCAGGGUUCUAGCAAAAGCUCAUCAGCAAUACAGGUCUUUCAUAGACCUACACAAGUCUACUCAUAACUACCUCCUAUAGGUGGAGGAUGUCGGCAAGGGGUACGCCAUCGUUCGACACAUAGCAACAGUAUAUAUGUUGUCUUGAGUCAUCAAGGGUAUAAUUGUAACAAGCACAAUUAUAUUUGUCUCCCCUACAAUUAGAUACUACACGUCCUGCUCACCUCUUGUUAGGUAUAUUGUUUGACUAUAAUGGGUUUCCAGUUCUUGGUGGUCUAAAUGGAUCAGGAGAAAAACACAGAGCGCUCACUAUGGGUCUCUAUGCAUUGUGCAAAACCGUAAAUGAACCCAAGUCACAACAGAUUCCAGUAGAGCUUUUACUGUAACGAUAUAUGCGUAUAUUGUCUUUUGUCCCUUAUAUAGGAGCUGCUCCUGGAUCAUGAACAUUUUAUGUGCAAAUUCUGGUGUGCCUUGGGUUCAUUUACUGUUUUGUAUGUAUAUCCGGUGGGGAACGGAUUAUUUUCACUCAGUACCCUUUAAUACCAUAUCACUAGAUCACCCAUUCCAGUAGAGCUUUUCCUGUAACUAUAUAGGCGAAUAGACUCUACGCAUUGUGCAUAGUGUGACACAGAGCAAGGGCAGGAAUAUUUAUAUAAUGUAUUAUAUUAUUUAUAUAUAUUAUAUUUAUACAAUAUUAUUCCAUAUCUUCAUAUAACAGCAUUGACUAUUAGUACAGAGAUGUUAGAUUUUCAUAGGGGAAAUUGAUGGAACAUUUUGCUCCAAUGGGUGUAAAGGUCCCGUGUCCACCCAGAACUAGUAUAGCAGGUAGAGGGUAUUGAAGGGGGUCCAGCACUACCAGAACGAUGUAUCUCAUAGCUGUGACUGUCACUCUGCACUCACUAUUGUUAUUCCAGACUAUAUCCACAAUGACUAACAUUAAGAACUCUAGCUGCUGGUUUAACAGGAGAUCUGAUGUGUCGUACCAUUGCCAAUUGCUGUAUUAUUUUGUCAAUUGCCAAAUUCAUUACUAAAUUCUAAAGUGCAACAUGCAAUCUGGUGCUGGAGUGAAAGGUUUGAAUGUAGUCUAAGACUUUUUCAGGUGUGAAUUAAUCGGUAUUAAGACAGCCAUUCGAAUAUUUCAAUUCUCUAUUUUGAUGUGUGUCCUUUUUUUUGGGGGGGGGGUGAGAGGCAAGCGGGAGGGGGGUUACAAUAAAAUAAACUAAAUUGAGCAGAAAUAGCAGCAAGUGUUUCACUCGAUAUUGGUGCUCACUCUUCUCUGCGUCUGUUUGGUAAAGCCAGCUGAAACAUACUACGAGGAAUACGAGUAUGGUGUGGCAAGUAAAGUGUUGCCAAAUGGCCAAAAACAUAGCAACUGUACUUUCCUAGCAUUGGAAUAUAGGAAUUUUGCACCUAUUUUAUAUCCUUUUAUAGAACAAAUCUUUAACACAAAGAUGUGCGCUUGUUCUCUUUUAGAUAACUGUUGAAGAGUCCCUUCCAUCUCAUCCCUUGAUCCAAAGAUCAUGGCUAUAUAUUAAAUAGAAUGAGAAAUUCACUCACUUACAAACUGCAAUUUGUCAGAAUUUGGGCUGAUCAGGUGAUCGUUUGAAUUCUAGAACUCCGAGCUGAAAUGUAGCCAAAUCUAAAACCACACAAAACGCACAACGGCCGAGCAUGUUGUUUUGAUUCAGGAUUCUAAAUCAAAAGAUAUGAUUGAUAGUGAAAAUGAUGAUGGAUAGCGGGGUUAAUUACUAAAGUGAGAAUUGGCAGGAAAUUUAAGGGAAUUUCAAAUUUAAGGCCAAAAUAAGCGAAGGGGAAGCACAGCUAACUUUCCAGUUGAGCAAUUUUAGAUUUAAGUUUGAAAUUCUUUUUGAAUUCCCAAUAAUCUCACUUUAGAAAUGAGCGAAAUAGCGGAAAAAAAUGAAAAGCAGUUAAAAAAAAUCUACAUUUAUACAUUAAAUAUUAUAUUAUAGAUUUUCUUUAAUGGUUCUCCAGUGUUUCCCUUUACUGCUUACUUCUGCUCACUCGUAAAUGGCAUGAACAUGCUCCUAUCAGUGUACUGCAAAAUAAAUACAUAAUAUUUAUAUUAAACAGACAUAUGGCUGGAAAAAACAAACAAUAAAACAACUUCAAAAAUAUGGUUCGGCCCAAAACAAAUGUCCUCGGCGUGCACAAGUCUAAUAUUGAACACUGUAUCUGACACUCCACUAAAUCAAGGUUAAUAAGAAUUAUGGGUUAUUUUCUGACUCAUUAUCAGCCUGUGCAUUUUAGCUAUUGAACUGUUGUUAAAAGCAGCAAUUUUACCAGCCGCUAGUAAAGAAUAGAAUCUUUAACCUGACGACCUUGAUGUGAGUCUUCCUCUCUGUAAUUAUUGCAUCACAAAUGACAUCCUGUAAUUGGGACCAACGUCAUGUAAAUGAAUUGUGGAUAUGAUUCAUGAGGUAAUAAUAUCACAAAAUGCGUUUUCCUGCUCAUUUAAGAUUAGAGGAGAUUAACUUGUACAUUACUAGUUACGAUCAUCAUGAUCGUAAAAACGCUGAAUUUUUAAUGGAAACUCUAUUUCAGUAGACGGUUUUAGAAUAGUAAUGGUAUGUAAAUGAAUAAAAAAGAUAAUUUUAAAAAAAGAGACAAUAUUUCUUUUAAUUUUACGUAAUCUAAGAUCUAUCAGAAAAUUGGACAGUAAGAAUCAAGGUGUAUUGAGAUACAAAGGGUUUUAAACUUAAACUUUGCUCCCCAUUAUGUCUCAAGCCUGGGAUUUUAAGUAUUUAUUAUUUCUCUGGAAAACACGACUGAAUAAAACUGUUAAAAUCACCUACAACUUAUUUUAACCUUUUUCAUGAGAUGCUCUGUACUAUUUUAUGUUUAUAUUAUAAAAUGCAGUAAAUUACAUCACAAUCCAGUACAUUCAAGGCACAGACAGGGCAUAGCAUGCAAAUAAGGAAGAGAAAUGCCAGCAUUGUUUCAUUUGGCCUUUUCUCUGUAUACAUCCUCUAAGAGGACUGUCAACUUCCAUGGACAGAGGUUAUAACAAUGAUUUACAUGAAGCUCAGAUGGAGAUGCUGGACAGUCACCGAGUAGAUGGUCUCAUUACAUAACAAAAAUUAUUGUCCCCUACACCUCUUAAAAAUUUUUUUUUCAAAAUCCUGUGUCUUUGUUCACACUAACUGCCUAUUUCUCCGGGACAUAUUCUCGGUAAUUAGAAGCAUCACGGCUAUUUCGUUGUUAUACCUUUAGACCAUUAUCAUAGCCCUUUCUUUUUGGGUUUUGAUUUGACUUUAAUAUUACAGUCUAUCGUGUUAUUCAUUAAAUCUGUGUACUACCCCCCUAUGUUAACGGGGGAUACAUUUACUUGUGAAUUGGUAUCUCUCUCUACACAAGGGUAUUUUAAUAGUGGCUUGAUCUCUCAGUUCAACUUCCAGGGAACACUAUUUUAUUACCAUACUUUCGCCACAUAUACCCAUUUUUCUAACACUAAGUCCAUUAUAUCCCCUCUUAAUCCCUCGGAUCAUUUACACAGACUGUCUACAUUUUUUGCAACAAUUUGCAACUUAUUAUUUAGAUACAGUCAUUUAUUUUGAUCAUUAUUUUGGAUUAGUUACUAUGAGAUAUUGCAUGGUCCUAUUUUACUAUGUUUGUUAUUUAUUUUCUUCGUGUUGUUCCUUAUGAGGGACUAAUAAAGAGUAUAUUGUUCUACCUCUCUAUUUAGGCACUGUCCAUAUAUUUGCAGAGCAGCUUAUCAGUAAAGGAUACAAGGUCUAAUAGGGGGGCAGAUCUUUUUAAUCUUCUACCCUUUAGUCCUUCUCUCUUUCCUUAAUGUCACAUUACUUUAAGAAAUGUCUGCUUAGAAAUCCAAAAAUCACAUUCUUGCCAGUGAGCAAGAUUUUGCAAAAAUCCAGAAAACGUUCUACAUCUCUACAAAGAAAAAUAUAUAUAUAUAUUUCUGUCUAAAGCACACCAAUAUACAGUUCAAAAGAAAUUGUUGCUAGGUAAUCCAGAGUACCACAUUUAAAAAUCAUAAUAUAAAUUAGGUUUCCUUUUUUUUUUAAAGAACAUAUAAACAAACAUUUUGCAAAAAGUUUUGGCUACAGUACUGCUCGAUUAAACAAAGAUUUGUUUCCAGCCUCUAAUAAAGGUAUCCUAAAAUGUUAAAGGACCACUAUAGGCACCCAGACCACUUCAGCUCAAUGCAGUGGUCUGGGUGCCAUGUGCCACUAGUGUUAACCCUGCAGCUGUAAACAUAGUUUCAGAGAACCUGCGAUGUUUCACUGAGGGUUAAUCCAGCCUCUAGUGGUUGUCUCACUGGCAGUCGCUAGAGAUGCUUCUGCGAUUCUCACUGUGAAAAUCACAGUGAGAAGACGCUGACGUGCAUAGGAAAGCAUUUCUCAAUGGGCGGUUUGAAUGCGCGCACGGCUCUUGCUGCGCAUGCGCAUUCGGCACUGACGUUGGCUGAGGGAGGAGCGUUCCACAGCGCCUAGGGAGCCCGGCGCUGGAGAAAGGUAAGUGAUUUAACCCCUUCAGCUCAGCUGGAGUGGGACCCUGAGGAGGUGAGGGGGACAUAAAGACCCCAUAGUGCCAGGAAAACCAGUUUGUUUUCCAGGCACUAUAGUGGUCCUUUAAAGAAUAUUUGUAGAUUAAAUGGAUGUAGUUACAGUUUUAUUCAAUUUCAACUUUUAGGCCACAAUAGCCAAAAUUAAAACAUGACGAACUCAGGAUUUUUCCAGUUCGGUUAUUUCAGCCUAAAAUGUUAAUUCACUUUGGAUUCUCAACAACAAUUUAAAUUUUUAUAUUUGGAUUUUAUAUUCCAAAGAACUUUAUAUCACGACAUAAUGACAUUCCAUGAUGUAUACCAACACCUAGCAAAGCAUCGAAGACUUCUACAUGCUGAAUAUUAAAAUACUCUGUCCACGGUGCUGAACAAACCUGUAGUGCUAUUUAUUGAACUUAGAGAUUUGUUUUGGGCCAUAAUGCAAUUUAACCGAAUUCCCAAACUCUGAGCCAAGAUGUACAUCAAUCACAGACCAGCUGAAGCACACAAUGCCGAAUGUGUUAGGUUUUAAUAUUAUACUUUGUUUUUCUGAUCCUCUUGUUUUCCUCUCUAUUCGUUACUUUUACUUGGUUGAUCUGUAAACCAAAUGACAUGAAAUGUUUAUUUUGGUGCACUGCAAAAUAGAUGCAUAUUAUGUAGAUAUUUUGCAGCACACUGAUCGGCCCAUUUCUUUUGUCCUUCCGAAUUGGUAUCUCGUUUUCAAACUUCUUUCAAGCCGUCAUUCAGGCAAUAUUUGGGUGUCACGAAUAAUUCCUUAUUUUCAGAAAAGUGGUUCGGUUAAGUGGAAUUUUCCUGCAAUGCACAACUCUGCUAUUUAUUGGUAUUACUGAAACCAUUAUAUUUUACAUAAUAUAUGUAUAUAUUUUUCAAGUAACAAAAGGUAUAUGCUUUAAAAGGCUGAUGAUGAUCUUUGCCAUCAUAUGGCUACAUGCCAAAAAAUAUGCAAGGGAAGGGUUAAAUGUCACCGUUUGCUAACACUUUUAGUAAAAAAUUCUGUAUGCAUGUAUGAGUCACAGUGACUUCAUUUACCCCCAUUGGGAAUACUGACAGAAAAACACAAAGGGUACAAAAGCUUGUGAAAAAAACCCCGUAAAAUAAAGGCACAGCACUGGUGAUUUAAUUUAAUUUUUCUAGGUUUUUUCAAUUUUAAUUCUAAUAGAAAAUAUUGACACUUCCAUCUAUCAGAUAAUUAGAUUACAUCAUGAGAUCUGAUUAGAGGAUUUAUCAAGGACAAAGCAUAUAUUGUAAGACUGAUGUAAUUUGUGAACACAUUAAUAAUAUACAGGUCUAUUACUCUAGCAUUACUUCAUCUAAUUGUGAAUGUAUCCCAAUAUGGUGAAUACAAGAUCCUAUUUACUCAACUCAAUUUAAUUUAAUCUACUCUAGACUUAGGUACAACAAGAAGAUUCUGCUCGGUUGAACAAUUCUUUCAGAAAAAAAAAAAAGGAUAUUUUUCAGGACACCCAGAAUUCCGCUAAAUAUUUGAUCGGCUCAGCAGAAUUUCGGAACCGAGAUUUAGAUUUGGGAAACGAAUCAGAAGAACAAACAAGAGACAUAUAUAAGAAAAUAAGACUGCUGAAAAAUAUAUACAUAAUAUGAUAAUAUGUAUAUUGUUUGCAGUACACUUAUAGGAGUGUUUUCCCAAUAUAUUUGGUUCAUAGAUGUAAGGUAGAGAAGUAAUAAUGGUCACAUCUCAAGUUAGGACCUUUUGUUACAAUUAUGAGACCUAAACGUUAUAGUAUACCAUUUUAAACAGUUCAGUGUUUCCAAACGUGUGACAGCAGUUCCGGAAAAGGUCCUUUAAUGAGCAAAUGGUUCGUUCUUGUGGUAUAUUAAUGCUAUGAAUGUCCUGUUUAUUCUUACUGUCAAAUGUAACUGUGUUUGAAUUGCCUCAAUGAAAACCAUUUCAAAUAAAAUGAGGAUGCAUUUGGAAUUUGAUAUUCUAUAAGCAGAAAUCAAAAUAUUUUAGGCCAUGUAAUGGAUAACAUCUACAACAUGAUGUAUAUGUAGAUGCAUGUCUGGAUGUACACUAUUUCAGCUGUAUAAAGUAAAGACAAAUAAGUUGAUGGGGCCUGAUGGGAUACACCCAAAUUUAUUAAAAGAACUUAGUGCUGUACUAGCAAAACCAUUAGCUGAUUUAUUUAAAGGGACACUAUAGUCACCACCACCACUACAGCUUAAUGUAGUUGUUCUGGUGAGUAUAAUAUCUCCCUUCAGGCUUUUUUCACACAAACACUGCCUUUUCAGAGAAAAUACAGUGUUUACAUUGCCCCUAGGGACACCUCCAAGUUGCCACUUGUCAGAUGGCCAGUGGAUAUGCUUUCUAGGGCAUCAUUGCCACGUAGCGUCUCCACGCUCUGCAUGGGGAGGUUGAAUUUUCCUCAUAGAGAUGCAUUGAUUCAAGUCAUCUCUAUGAAGAAGUGCUGAUUGGCCAAAACAGUGUUUGGCCCCACCCCCAUCCUGCCUCCUUGCCGAUUUUAGCCCUACGGGAAAGCAUUGGAUUGGCUAAAAAUCGGCAAUGGAAAUAAGGUGAGUUUUAAUUCCUUGUAAGGGGGUCGAGGGGGGGCAAGCUAUAGGGUCAGGAAUACAUGUUUGUGUUCCUGACCCUAUAGUGUUCCUUUAAUCAAUCAUUGUUAACGGGAGUAGUCCUGAAUGAUUGGAAAUUAGCAAAUGUUGUACCCAUUCACAAGAAAGGUAAUAGGGAGGAGUCGAGCAACUAUAGGCCAGUAAGCCUUACUUCAGUAGUGGGGAAAGUGACGGAAACCAUGUUAAAGGAUAGGAUUGUUGAACAUCUAAAAACACAUGGAUUCCAAGAUCAGAGACAACAUGGGUUUACUUCAGGGAGAUCAUGCCAAACUAAUCUUAUUGAUUUUUUUUGAUUGGGUAACUAAAAUAAUAGAUCAGGGUGGUGCAGUAGACUUUGCUUACCUAGAUUUCAGUAAGGCUUUUGACACUGUUCCACAUAGAAGGCUUAUCAAUAAAUUGCAAACUUUAAGUUUGGAUUCCAAUAUUGUUGAAUGGAUAAGGCAGUGGCGGAGUGACAGGCAACAGAGGGUUGUAGUCAAUGGAGUAUAUUCGAAGCAUGGUCUUACCAGUGGAUCUGUACUUGGACCCAUGCUCUUCUAUAUUUUUUAAUGAUAUUGCAGAAGGCCUUGAUCGUAAGGUAUGUCUUUUUGCUGAUGAUACUAAGAUAUGUAACAGGGUUGAUGUUCCAGGAGGAUAAGCCAAAUGGCAAAUGACUUAGGUAAACUAGAAAAAUGGUCAGAGUUGUGGCAACUGACAUUUAACGUGUAUAAGUGCAAGAUAUUGGGCGUAAAAACCCCAAAGGCAGAGUACAGAAUAUUUGAUAGAGUCCUAACCUCAACAUCUGAGGAAAGGGAUUUACGGGUGAUUAUUUCUGAUGACUUAAAGGUAGGCAGACAAUGUAAUAGAGCAGCAGGAAAUGCCAGCAGAAUGCUUGGUUGUAUAGGGAGAGGUAUUAGCAGUAGGGAGAGGUAUUAGCAGUAGAAGUAUUAUUUUACUGAGAGGGUAGUGGAUGCAUGGUAUAGCCUUCCAGCUGAAGUGGUAGAAGUUAACACAGUGAGGGAGUUUAAGCAUGUGUGGAAUAGGCAUAAGGCUAUCCUAGAGAACAAUGCAUGUAUUAAGAAAGUUGGGCAAACUAGAUGGGCCGAAUGGCUCUUAUCUGCCGUCACAUUCUAUGUUUCAAUGUUUCUAUAUCAGUUACAACAUUAAAACCACUGGCAUGUGAAGUGAAUAACAUUGAUUAUAUCAUUACAAUGGCACCUGUCAAGGGGUGGAAUAUUUUAGGCAGCAAGUGAACUGUCAGUUCUUGCAUUUCAUGUGUCGGAAGCAGAAGAAAUGGGCAAAUGAAAAUGUCUGAGUGACUUUGACAAGGGCCAAAUAGUGAUGGCUUGAUGACUGGGUCAGAGCAUCUCCAAAAUUGCAAAUCUGGUGGGGUGUUCGUGGUAUGCAGUGGUUAGUACCUAUCGAAAAAGAGGGGCAAGGAAGGUCAACAAUAGCUGCAUAGCCACAGACAAAGUGUCCACCACCAAAAGUGUCUUCAAUGGGGACGUGAGCAUCAGAUCUGGACCAUAGAGGAAUGGAAGAUGGUUGCUUGGUCUGAUGAAUCACAUUUUUAUUCAGAUCAAGUGGAUGGCCAGGUGCGUGAGCUUCAUUUAUCUGGGGAAAAGAUGACAGCAGGAUGUACUAUGGGAAGAAUGCAGGCCAGUGGAGGCAGUGUUAUGCUCUGGGCAAUGUUCUGCUGGAAAACCGAGGGUCUUGGCAUUCAUGUAGAUGUUAAUUUGACAUGCACCACCUACCUAGAGAUUGUUGCAGAUCACAUGCACCCCUUCAUGUCAGUGGUGUUCCCUGAUGGCAGUGGCCUCUUUCAGCAGGAUAAUGAACCCUUUCAAAUUGCAGAAAUUGUUCAGGAAUGGUUUCAGGAACUAGACAAAGCAUUCAAGGUGUUCUCUUGGCCUCCAAAUUUCCCAGAUCUCAAUUUGAUUGAGCAUCUGUGGGAUGUGCUGGAACAACAAAACUGAUCCAUGAAGGCCCCACCUCGCUACUUGCAGGACUUAAAAGAUCUGUUGCUAAUAUCUUGGUGCCUGAGACCACAGGACAUGUUCAGAGGUCUCGUGGAGUCCAUGCAUCAGAGCUGUUUUGGAAGCAUGAUGGGAACGUACAUAAAAUUAGCCAAGUGGCUUUCAUGUUGUGGCUGAUCAGAGUAUGUCCAUUGCUCAGCAUUCAGGUCUGUCUUGUAUAGAAAGGUGCUCAAAAAUUAGAAAAUAAUAAAUGCACAGCGAAAAAACCAGUUCUGUGACCGCAUUCUAACAUGAUGGACCUUUCGGAAAGUAUAAAUGUAGAAAGAUCUCCAAGUAAAUUAUUCUAUACAGAAAGGAUACCCAAUGUUGGCACUUCAUACAUUUCUGGACUUUGUCUCCAUAAUGCUCAGUCAGCUAUUGGAGAUGGGGUCUACAAACAUCUGUAGUCACAAGGCUAACAGUCUUUUCACUAAUGAAAAUUAGAAUGUUAAUAUUGAUCUGCUUACACUUAACAGAAUAUUUACAUCUAAAUUACUGUCAUAUCAGCCUAUCGAUAUAAUAACUGUUCUUCCUAGUAAACCAACUGAUAGAAACUUUAUAAACUUGAAAGCUCGACUGUUGUAAACAGAGUAUAUAUCAGCUUAGUGGACAAGCAGUACCACACAGCAACUCAUUUUAUUUGCAUCGAUUGCACAGUGAAAUUUAAUUCUCUUGUGCAAGUAGAAUCGUUAAGGCUGGGACAUUGUGCUGGGAAAUAAUUUAAAGAAUUUGAAUACCAAUGAAUGAGCUAACACAAUAAAAUAUUACUUCUUCAAAUACAGGAAACUAGAGGCCUUUAAACCAUUUCAACAAAAUAAAUGGUAAAUUGUACUCUAUACAAAAUCCGUUUUAAUGAAAUGAAUUGAUUCCCAAUUUAACACAUUUUACUGAAAGCUCGACUCCUACCUUUUUAUUCCAUAACCUCCCUUCAAAAAAAACCCCCCAACCUUACAACCUUUGUGUAAUCUGUGCGGUACAGUUCUAGAAAUGCCUAUAUAAUCUGUGUCAAACAAACAAUGUUGCAUUAUACACUGAAAGAGAUUUAUCAGAAGCACAUUGUAAUUUCUUCCGAACACAAUUGCGUUAUGUCUCUAUUCAGAAGGUACAGUUUCAGUGAAACACAUUUAUUUGUCAUGAGGGGAAGAAAAUGAGAAUACAAAAGAAAAAUUGUAACUGUAACGGCAUAUGCAAAUUUCACUAUCAAGCUGUGAAUGUCUUUACAAUGAGUUUUUUUUUUUUUUUUUCAAACACCGUUCUAUAGUUUGUCUAUAUAAUAUUAACGUGACACGCGGGAUUAAGAUUAGGGGCAGCAAGAGUGCUUAGCUACCAUUUAGAGGUCAUUAUGGGUCACAGAGUGCCGGGGUGGAUAUACUGUAAUGUAGUCCUCUGAUUUAUUUACAAUUAAUUUAAAAAAAGAGUGAAAUAAACGUAGAUUCAAACAUCCGAGAGCUCCGAGUUGAUUUAUGAAAUGUAAAAUUAUAUAUAUUUUUUUAUUAAAUAUUAAGGUUUCAGUUAAGACGGUUAGUCUGUUUUUUCAUUUUGUUCUUAAUUUUACAUGAUAAAUAUACAAGCAAGUUCUAUCUAUUUAAGUAGCUAUUGUAUACAUUUAGUUGUGUUUACAGAAGUGUAUAAUGUUAGCGUUACACUUCAGCAAUUGGUACAGGAGCAGAGGAAAUGUAGCCAAGCCAUCAGAGAGACCAACAGCUGUAUUCAUCCAUUUGAUCCUUAUCUAGAACUACUAGACUUGUGCAUUCGGUUUUAGGCGAUUUGCAAUUUAUCAGAAUUUUGGUUAAGGGCAAUUCGUCCCAUUUCCCAAAUUACAAAAUGCUAUACGGACAAAUCAUGACACGGACAAUCGACAAGCUGUUUGUUUUGUUAUUUAGAUCUAUAUAUGGUCAGAGCUGUGGCAACUGAAAUAUAUAUACACUUAAAAUUAUAAACGCAACAUUUUUGUUUUUGAUGUGCUGAACUCACCUGUGCAAUAAUCCUGCUGUCUAAUCAGCAUCUUGAUAUGCCACACCUGUGAGGUGGAUGGAUUAUCUUGCCAAAGUAGAAGUGCUCACUAACACAGAUUUAGACAGAUUUGUGAACAAUAUUUGAGAGAAAUAGGCCUUUUGUGUACAUAGAAAAAGUCUUAAAUCUUUGAGUUCAGCUCAUGAAAAAUGGGGGCAAAAACAAAAGUCUUGCAUUUAUAAUUUUGUUCAGUGUAAAUAUAUAUAUUUCAUUUUCCUUUGUAUUUACCAGUUAUCUGACUGUAAAGUGGUAGGGUUACACUACUACGUGAAAUUUUAAUAAUUUGAUUAGAAAUGUUAUAUAUUUUGUCCAAACAUAAAGGGAAUUAUCUUUCUAGAACUCCUGAGACCCAACGUAACAAUUCUUGAGUAAAGGAUAAUUGAGGAUUGACAUAGUAUAGAAACCCACAUACAGCCCCCAGAGAAGCAUUUUUUCUUUAACCCCUUAAGGAAACAUGACAUGUGUGACAGCAUGAUGGGUUCCCUUUUAUUUCUGAGGUUUGGUCCUUAAGGGGUUAAAGAGACUAACCUUCACAUAAUGAUGUGAACUUUGACUUGCUGUACAGUCCAGCCUCCAGGGAAGGUUUUUUGUUGAACGAAGUUUUAGAAGUGAUUUGAUUUUGUGAUAUAAUAAAAGGCACUAUUUAACCUUCUGACAGUUGACAAGGAAUUGUCAUGAAGUGAAAUGCAGUAUUACAGCUUCCGGGAAUAGAACAUAACAUGACAGUAAGUGAACACUGAGGAAUUUAUUCACUAAGCAAAAAAUUGUGGUGAAUUGAAAGCCAAACUAAAAAGUUUUGCCUACAAUAGUCGAGUUGUGGCUACAGCCAAGAUAAUUCUUUUAGAUCAAAUUUUGUAAUUAUGUUUUCAACUUACCACCAUUCUAUAUUUACAGAAUAACACCCAUAGUUAGGGCCGUCUUUCACCAUGGGCACGCUGGGCAUGAAAAGAUCUCCCACACCAGCUCAUGUCCCUUUGUUAGAGAGGAGAGAGAGGGGGGAGGACCGGAGACAAAAGGAGGGACCUGGGAGGAGAUAGCUCCUCCCGAAAACAGGCUGUGUGCAGCAUUGCCGUGCGUUGCCAUGGCAAUGCUCCACACAACACUCAGCUUGGGAGGAGUGAAGAUAGCCUGCAGCCAGAGGAACCACCGGACCACCAUGGCUGGCAGUGUCCCCCCCUUCCUUCAUCAACGGUAAGAAGAAAGGUUGGGGGGGGGGGCAUAAAGAUUUUAUUAAUAAUGCACAUUUAUUAUUUAAAAUAAUCAAACAAACAAGAAAACCUUUGCUCCAUGCACCCCUCACACUCUGCAACACACACACACCACUCACCCCUAACAUACAGCACCUCUCUCACACACAGCACCCCUCUCUCACACACACACACAGCACCCCUCUCUCACACACACACACAGCACCCCUCUCUCACACACACAGCAACCCAUCUCUCACACACAGCACCCCUCACACACACACAGCACAUUUCACACAUACAGCACCUCUCACACACACACACACACAGCACCUCUCACACAGCACCCCUCCACACACAUACACUGCAGUCUGUGUGUAUUCAGCAGUCUGUGUGUAUGCAUUGUAUGUAUCCAUUUCAUUUGUUGGAGGUACCAAUAAAAUUAAAUAUAAGCUUAAUUUUAUCAAUAAUUUACGUUUUAAUUCCUGUUAGAUGGUACUGCCCAUAGUCUGCUCUUCUGAUACCAAGAGAGACUUUCUGAUGCCCUAAUGCCAAACAAAUCACAAAUGGAAUGUUCUACCAGGUAACUCAAAAACUCCACUUCAUAUUGAUAUGAAGAACUCAUCUUGGUAUGGUGAUAUAAAACAAAUCAGGAGAGCUUUGGGGUUUGUUUCUUUCACAGUUUAUUUGCUGUGCUUAGAUAAUAAUAGCUUAGAAGAAAUGUAAUAUAAUACAGCAGUUUAUAGGUUCCCCCCCCAUGUGUGAUGGUACUUGAUAUAAACAACAGAAGUGGCUUGUGGGGCCCAUAGGGGCUAAAUUGUCAUAAUUUCUGUUAUAUCACUUUUUCGAUUAUCCUCUCUAAACACUUAUAUGUCUUUCAUUCUUUCCAGAUAUGUGUUGAGAUGAAAACAUAAGCUGUUAUCUUACACUUUAAAUAGAUUUCUGUUUUAUGGUAUCGUCAAGGUAAAAUGGUUUAUUAGCAAUUGUAUUCUUAUUAACAUCUAGUUCUGGCUAAUAGCUCUCAUCAGACACAUUGUAUUUUAUUUUCUCUGCUGGUUUUCUACAUAUACAAAUUCUACAUUUUAGCCAUAUUGGAAAAAUAGAGAAAAAAAAAACAUUUAAAAAAUAACACUAAUAUUAAAAAUAGAUUUUGAUUUGUUCAUUGUUAGUGUUGCGGAGGUUUAGAUUGUGUUCCCCUCCACCCUCUGUAAAAUAAAAAUGAAAUAAACUGUUAUUUCUAAUUACUGGUAAGUCAGGACCAGGCAGUCGCUCAUCCUCUCCUCUAUGUGGUUGAUCUCUGGCCAAAUGAGAUGCUUCUCACAGAGAAGCACUGUGAACCUACUAGGCAUGCGUGGCAGUCACCACACUCUGCUAAUUAGAUGCUUUUUAUAUAUAGAAGCUAUUAAUCCAAUGCUUUUCAAUAAGCAGCAUUCAAAACAUUUGGUGGCGCUGAACAUCUGCUAUCUGGCUGACAUUCUGAUUAACCAGCACUAGAGGCAUGCUUACUGACAAAUCUAAACAUUGCCAUAUCUUAUAAACAAUUAUAUUAACUAUUGCCGUAGUGUGGGGACCGGAUCUUCACACCAAAAGCACAACAAUAAAAACACAAAAAUUCUAAAAUACUCUGCUCAAACACUCGCUCUUUCAAUGUAGCAGAAAUCACAGUUCUGGUUAAAAAAACAAAAGCCUAGGUACAGUCACUAGACAUGGAGAAUAAUCAAGUCAAAUUCAAGAUCCUGAUAACAAAAAGGUUAACAGUAACCAUGAACGAGCAAUGACUUGGCAAUCAUUAUAAGUUUGUAUAGGGCCAAAUUGAACUAAACGUCAAUUAAACUGAGCCACAAGAUUAAAGUGCAUUUGUUUGGCUCCCUUUUGUUGAGCCAAAUUGAUGUAGGUAAGGUUUUUCAGAAGGAAAGCAUCAUUGGAGUAAACUGCAUGGGAUACACUGCCCCUAGUGGCUGUAGAGGCCAUAGAAAAAUCAAUGUGGGACACUGCUGGCCUAUGAAAGGUCCAGCAGGUCAGUGGAUCUUACAAACAGGGGCUCAUGAGUCCCCUUAUGUACUGUACUGACAGCCACCUAAUAUAAUGUGUUUUUCACUAUUUAGUACAGCUCAUUUCCCACUUCCUUUUUGCCAGUAAUUGUUUACUGUGUAUUGGGAAAAAUUACAAUCGGAGAAAUGAAGGCUACAAAAUGUCACUGCAUGGACCAAGGACAAAUUAUUGUAUCCCUAUCUGUUACAGCUUAUUAAAAAAAUCACCACAAUGUCGAUCCUUACUCUGCAAGAUAUUGCUGCCUUGUCAAUUUAGAAAGACACUCGUGUCAUACUAGCUAAAGGCUGGUGAUAGGGUUAGGAAUAAGGUUAGUGAUAGGGUAUGUGAUCGGGUAAGUGAUUGGGGAAGUGAUAGGGUAAGUGAUAGGGUUAGGGAUAAGGUUAGUGAUAGGGAUAAGGUUAGUGAUAGGGAUAAGGUUAGUGAUAGGGAUAGGGAUAGGGAUAGGGUUAGUGAUAGGGAUAGGGAUAGGGAUAGGUUUAGUGAUAGGGAUAAGGUUAGAAAUAGGGUUAGGGAUAGGGUAAGUGAUAGGGUUAGUGAUAGGGAUAUGGUUAGUGAUAGGGAUAGGGUUAGAAAUAGGGUUAGGGAUAGGGUAAGUGAUCGGGUAGGUGAUAGGGUUAGGGAUAAGGUUAGUGAGAGGGAUAAGGUUAGUGAUAGGGAUAGGGUUAGUGAUAGGGAUAAGGUUAGUGAUAGGGAUAAGGUUAGUUAUAGGGAUAGGGUUAGUGAUAGGGAUAGGGUUAGAAAUAGGGUUAGGGAUAGGGUAAGUGAUCGGGUAGGUGAUAGGGUUAGGGAUAAGGUUAGUGAGAGGGAUAAGGUUAGUGAUAGGGAUAGGGAUAGGGAUAGGGUUAGUGAUAGGGAUAGGGUUAGUGAUAGGGAUAGGGAUAGGGAUAGGGUUAGUGAUAGGGAUAGGGUUAGGGAUAGGGCUUAGGGAUGGUUUAGUAACACUGAUGAUGUCCGUGACCUAUGUUAAAAUUAGGAAACUGUUUCUUUGAAUCUAAAAAAAUUUAAUCUGGCAAUACCUCACAAAGUUUAAUUCGCUUGUUAGUACGUUUAUUUGGCAGUUUUGUAGUGCUGCCUUUAAUUUGUGUGUCUCUACAGGUCUAAAGGAUGUAAUGCCAUCCCAUUAAUAAUUGGGCUAAAAGAUGUUUAUCAUCAGGUUCACAGAGAAGAGGGAAAAAAAAUGUAUAAUUGUAUUUAAUAAUUCAGUAAAAUAAAACCAGUUGCUCUGCAGACAUGUUGGACCCUAUUAAAAGCUUGUCUGGACUCUACGACCCUUGGUUGAACGCUACGGGUCUUUAUUAUGACCAGCAAAAUAUCAAAUGUAACACUGAAUUUAAAUGAUCAAAUGUCAGAGGCGCAUGAGAUUUAACAACACAACAGAUUCAACUGCUGCACAGUGCAAAAUACGUCUAACACUUCCUCUACCAUGGAGACCUCAUGUCAUUGGGGGGUGGGGGGGGGAAGGAGUGAUCAGCAGGAAAUUAAAACAACUAAUUACAAUUAGUGAACUAAAAAAAGACGAACAUGCGUCUGCUAUCCAUUGUGUUACUGUACACUGAAUUAUUUCACAGAUCAGGUUUGCAGAACAGGAUAGAAAGAUAAUGUGCUAGUCUAUGCUGUAUAGAAAAAAAAUCUUCAUUCACAGCAGAAAAAGACAGAAGGUCACUGUUGAGUUAUUUAACACAAGACAAAACAGGUUCACAAUGAUAGAAAGGCAAUAUUUAUGCAGAGACAGGGAGAGAUGGUGGUUUGAGGCGCAUACUCUCCAUAUGGGAGCAGAAAUCACAAUGUUUUAAGUAUACUUGCUUGAAUAAUAAAAAAAAUAUAUAUAUUGGUUAGAUAAGCCAAUCUGUUGUUGAAUUCAAGCUAGAUCUUUCAAUAGACAGACAGAGAGACAGACAAGUAGAUAGAUAGUCAUAGACAGAUAGUCAGACAGACAGUGUUCUGGAAUCCUGAAAUCAUACUAUUUUCCCUUAAAGGAACACUAUAGUCACCUAAAUUACUUUAGCUAAAUAAAGCAGUUUUAGUGUAUAGAUCAUUCCCCUUCAAUUUCACUGCUCAAUUCACUGUCAUUUAGGAGUUAAAUCACUUUGUUUCAUGCACCUUGGCUAUGAUUGACAGAGCCUGCAUGAAAAAACAAACUGGUUUCACUUUCAAACAGAUGUAAUUUACCUUAAAUAAUUGUAUCUCAAUCUCUAAAUUAAACUUUAAUCACAUACAGGAGGCUCUUGCAGGGUCUAGCAAGCUAUUAACAUAGCAGGGGAUAAGAAAAUCUUAAUUAAACAGAACUUGCAAUAAAGAAAGCCUAAAUAGGGCUCUCUUUACAGGAAGUGUUUAUGGAAGGCUGUGCAAGUCACAUGCAGGGAGGUGUGACUAGGGUUCAUAAACAAAGGGAUUUAACUCCUAAAUGGUAGAGGAUUGAACAGUGAGGCUGCAGGGGCAUGUUCUAUACACCAAAACUGCUUCAUUAAGCUAAAGUUGUUCAGGUGACUAUAGUGUCCCUUUAACGCAUGCUUUCCUAUUACAUAUCUUUUAUAUCAUGUUUUAUUCAGGGUCAGGGUUCGUGUAAUUGUUUUAAGUAGGUGAUGGUUAAUGUUAGGGCACUGUAAUGGUUAAGGGUUAGUGUUCUGGUCAUGAAGGGGUUUAUUGUUAGAGUUAGGGUAGUGUGGGGGUUAAUAGUAAGUUUUAGGUUAGUGUAGUGGUUAAGGGUUAGUGUAGCUCAGUAUAGAUGUUGAUGCCUGAGGUUAGCGGGAGCUGCAGUACUGCAUGGCAGCAAUUUCUUUGAAAUAGUGGCAGCUAUCGCUAAGGAAAGAAACUCCCAGUAACCUCGGCCAGAUCUGGACAUGCAUGGCCCUGUUCAUUCUGAGAUUAGCUCCUUUGAACUCCAUAUAGACGGUAGUGUUGGGGUCUGGAAGCAUUUAUAACCCAGGUGUCCUUUAGGCUUGUGGUUUAUUAUAAUGUCUCUAAAACCCAGCAUCACUGUUGUGUAUCUAUAUAUAUACACAUAUACUCUCACUAACAGACACACAUUCAUUUACAGACACACACCAACACACUCACAAUUUUUUUUUUUUUUUUUUAAUUCAAUCCACCCAGCCUCCCUACUUUUGGAAGUGCUGGAGUGGAUUCUUCCCUGGGGUUCAUUAGGGUUUCUGCUGGCUGGCUGGGAUGGCAGGCACGUGGGCAGGUGGUAGGACUGGUGGUCAGGCAGGCUCAUAUUGGAGGCGGCGAGGGAGCUCUGAUCUUCCUGUUUAGCUCACUCGCACGCCUCUUAGUGAUGCCGGAGUGAAGUCAUAUUCCGGCUCUGGCAUCACUGUAGAGGGAGCUGAACAGGGGAGAGCUCAUGGGACAGUGCUCCCUCACGGCCCAGCAACAUCAGCGCAUGCCAGCUUUGGGGGGUCCCUGAGGUGGCCAGCCAGCCAGCUCCUGGGCCCCCGAGGAGAAGAGGCUGGCAAGGCAUUUGCCAGGGCGAUUGGGGGGUGGCUUUUUUGCCGCCCACCUGAAAGUGACACCCAAGGCAAAUGCCUUGUCAGCCUCACGGCAAAUACACCGCUGUGUGUGUCUGUUAGUGUCGGUUAGUGUUUGUGUGUUAGUAAGUGUGUCUGUCACUGAGAGUGUAAAUGUUUUUGUCAUUGAGUGUAUAUGUGUGUUUGUCAGUGUGUGUGUAUCUGCCACUGAGUGUGUUUGUCAGUGUGUGUUUGCAUGUUUCAGCAUGUGUAUCCGUGUCUGUCAGUGUGUGUAUGCGUGUCUGUCACUGAGAGUAUGUGUCUGUCAGUGAAUGUGUAUGUCUGUUCGUGUGUCUGUCAAUUAGUGUAUGUGUGUCUGUCAAUGUGUGUGUUUCUGACACUAAGUGUAUAUAUGUCUGUCAGUGAGUGUUGUAAAUGUGUGUUUGUCAGUGUGUAUUUGUCAGUGAGUAUAUGUGGGUCCCAAUGUGUGUGUCUGACACUAAAUGUGCGUCUGUCAGUGAGUCUGCAUGUGUGCCUUGUCAGUGAAUGUGUAUGUGUCUGUUGGUGAAUGCGUGUCUGUCAGUGAAUGUGACUGAGUAUAACUGUGACUGAGUGAGUGCGUAUGUCUGUGAAUGUGUAUGCUUCAGUGAAAGUGUGUGUUGGUUAAACAGUGUGUCUGACAAUGACUGUGUAACUGUAAGUGAGUGUAUGUCAGUGGAUGCAUCAGUGAGGGCGUGUGUCUGUCAGGAAGAGAAAUUUGGAAGGGAGGUGCCUGAGUUUUGUGCUGCACAAAACCAGAAUACAAAUGUUCUUUACACACAUACAUAGUUCAUUUUUUUUCUAUAGAAUAUGAUCGGAUAUUAAAAUUGUAAUAUUGACUGAAGGCAUUAAAGGAGGUUUAAAGCAGAAGCCUUCUUUUAAAUGUCUCUCUACAGGGCAGUUUAAAAUGUAUUUAAUUCGUUACUAGUGAAAGAGAGCUUCGGCAUAGUGAUAUCCUAAACUUUAUAUGGAUGAUAUUACUGACAGAAUAUUCAGAUUUUGGGCCAAAUAUAUAUAUAUAUAUAUAUAUAUAUAUAUAUAUAUAUUAUAUAGUUUCUUAGGAAUUGCAGUUUAUAUAAUAAUAUGGACAUGCAAUGUGUGUCGAUUUUAUUAUUUACAUUUUGUUUUAUUGUGUUUUAUGCAGACCUUAGUAUAUUAUUAUUAUUUAUAAAGCGACAACAAGUUCCGUAAUUGUAACCAGAUGAGUUGGACGCACAGGAACAGAGGGGUUGAGGGUAGAGGGAGUUGGGUAAAGUGAGGGUAGAGGGAGUGGGGUAAAGUGACCUAAAAGGUAAGGUAAGAAAAAGAUUAAAAAUUUUCAGACUACUUAAUAAAAAAUAAAAAGAAUAUGAAGAACAAGCCCUAUUUUGAGCUCAAGUACCCCCUACAAUAUAUUGUCAUGCCAACAAGGAUUAUGGGAUAUUUUAAACAAUCUAUGGGAUAUUUUAAACAAAACGAUCAGGAAUACCUUUUUUCUUCUUUUUUGUUAUUUUAUUGUUUUUAGUAUAUAAUUACUUUUUAUAUUUUUAUACUAUCACAGAGGGACUUCUUUUCCUCGGUACCACUUGUGAGUGGUGAUAUGCUGCUAUAAUCUUCACUUGAUGUAAGUGCAAUUUGUAUUAAUAAAUCUAUCUUUGUUUGCAAUACUGCUCUAUAUACCUCUUUUUAUUUGAGGAUUGGGUGUUCUGAAUCUACGCCUUUUUGGUCCAUACACACAAGCCCACUGAGAAAGAAUACGCUACUUUAAUACCCUAUGGAAGGGAGACAAGCGCAGAUCUACAGCACGGUCUUGUAAGUUCUCUAUCUACGGGACUGAAUCAUAUAUUCCUGUACAUACUUCACUAUUAUGUGAUUUUUUUCAUGUUUUAGAUUCUUUGAAGAACUGUGUUAUAGUGUAUACAGGUUGUAUGGUUCAUGUUUGUUGUGCCACCCCUUUAGUCUAUACUAGUAUUUGAUACAGUAUAGACUUACCCCUUUGUUUAUAUUGUAUUGGUGUAUGUGAGGUACACUUCUGGGUGUUUUGGCACUGUUUUGUGGUUUUUGCUUGGGAUAUUAUAUAGUGCCUCUUUCUUUUUUCUGUAUAUUUUAAACAAUAUCCCAUAAUAAAAGCAAUAAAAAAAUUAUCAAAUAGCUAUAUAACUGUAUCACUAAUAAUUAAAUGUUUAAUCAGAAAAUGUAACUUACAGCCAUAACAAAAACUGAUGUAUCCUGCAAGUUACGUGUAAGUACCCUGAACAUCAAUCUGUACUUCGCAGUACGUGCAUGGGGGCAUAAUAAUAAUAAUGGUCACAAGGUGUCCAUCUGUUCUGUUUUAGGUACCUCUUAGUAUAAGAGCAAAGUAUACGUGAACACACUUCCAUUCUAUUUGAGUGACAGGAAGUAAUUCAUUAGCAAUGGCCCAUCUGUACACCAUCUACAAUUAUUGCCUUCCCACCCACUCCGAUCUACUCUAAUAUAUACAAUUAAACCCACAGACAGACAUUCUGUCACCUCUUCAUGCAUAGUACGUUGACAUCUUAUCGUAUACUCACCCAUUGACUCCCAUUCCCACACAUCCACACAGACUACUAUCCGUGUACACUAAAACCUCGUAUCAAUGCUGUGAACACAGAGUUACAUGUAUGGACUCAUACAUAUACAUACAUGCAUGCAUUAUGCGCAAAUACAUAAACCUGUUCCUGUUGUCCUAGCAUCAUAAAAUCAUAUUAAAGAAACAGAAAUAGCAAAGGCAAGAAAUAAAAAAACAUACACACACAAAAAAAGGCAGAAAAAGACAAACAAACAAAAAAAAACAAUAUAAAUUUCUUGGCUUCCAGGCAUUGCCCAAAUGAUAAAAUUUAUACUGAAAACCUGUCUGAGCGUCUGUGGAUUCAGAAUGCAAUCCAAGAAUUCUUAACGCUCACUUAGAAACACAGAUAAUCUAAAAGUUAUGUUCCAAAUAAAACGAAAAUCGCAAAUAGAGGUACUUGCAAAGUUCAGAGGAAUACUUAGAAAGUAGAAACAUUUCAAACACAUUUUUCUUUGUACAGCCUGUAAUCCAAUCUCCCCCAUGGCUGCAACGUAUGAUAAGAUGAUAGGAUCAUGUGAUGAUCGAGGUCAGGUCACAUAAUACAAGGAUAUAAAAAACACUGACAGUUAUGUGCAUUCGGUGGCCAAUACACGGAAAAAAAUAUAUACUUUGGAAAUUCAGGUUCUCUAUAAUACUUGGUUGGUCGGGGUCAUUAUGGAUAAUGGACUAAGAAGUUGUUUAUUAAUAGUUCUUCCUAUUCCCCCUUGGAAUCUGCAGAGCACUCAGAAUGAGUGGAUAAAAUACAUGCAUAUUGCAGCACACUGCGUCACAAUUUAUAGGGUCCCACAAAUACUGGGGGGGGGGGGGCAGGCCCUGCUUCCAUUUUUUCCCCCGUUACAAAACAUCCCCUUGAUGUGCAUUUAUAAUCCGCAAAUAUACUUUUUUUUCCCUUCAAUUAAAACCGUGAUCCGUGAUCAAAUAAAUAACAUAUUUUAUUACAAAUGUUGGUGUAACAUGUAUUACGCCUUUGCAUUAUUUAUAGAAUGAUAGCUAUCUAUACAUUCCUAUUAUCUGUUUAGAACAAGAUAAAUAUGUGUUACCCAACUAGCUGCUCUAUAAUUCAGUUUUUCCUCUGUUCUUCUCAUGCAGAGUAACCAGACCCAGCAUGAAAUGUGAAGCAGUGAAUUUCAUUGAGAUAAUUGCAGUGAUCAGCCCAUAAAAUAUGUUUAGGCAGCCUGGCUAUUUCUGCUAUUUAAUGGCAGGUAAUUCAUUUGAUGAAAUGUUAUCUAGCCUUCUUGAGAAGAAUUGGAGUGACCUCUUAAAGGUCAACAGUAAUCAAAACCGUCCCAUUUACACCUUCCUGCUCUACAUUUAUGGAAGCUCCAACAUAGAUGGUGUGUGAGAUGUCUCUAUAAGAGCUCUACAGACAGCAGAAUCAAAUACGUUUAUGAUACAAGGGGUUUGUAUCAGGUUAUCCAAUGCAUUUUCUACUUGCCACAAAUGAGUAUCCCACAGAAUAUUAAUAGGACAGAGAGCAUUCCCACAAACUGGGCUAUGAUGCCAUUUCUAAAAUACACCGUUGUCCAUUCAAUCUUUCUAUAUCAAAAUAAAAUGAUCAGAAAAAAGAAAUGGCCACACACUUAUCGAAAAAAAUUAAAAAAAAUUAAAAAAAUAAACUGCUGGAUACAACGCAUUAUUUUUAAACAUAGUGGGAUCUUCUGAAACAGCACGUAGAGCUUUUAUAUGUGUGUGUUAAAUUGUCAGAUAUUUUAUUGUAGAGAAAAGAUUUUAACCCAUUUGUGACAAACAGUGUGUCCUGGCAGUCAUGGUAUAUAUAGAUUAUCCAGAGGCGUGGUCAUGAUAAGGUUAAACUGGGAUUAAGUAGAGAGAUUUUACUCCUAAAUGAUCAUCUACAGAGCUCAUUCAGCGUCUAUUAAGAAUAAUGCAGACAAUCUCUUUCCAAAUGCAAAUUCCUGUUGUACAACAAUUCCUGUUGUUGUAUUGGGGGCUCCUCCUCCGCAGGGAUGGCCAAAAGGUAGAUCCCCAUCUGUCACACAUCUCUCAUGGUGCUAUGUGAACUGGGGGUCUACCGUUUGCCCACUCUUGCAGGGUUAUAUUUGUGAGCAGUAUUUGUGCGUUUGAAUGUAAGCAUGUUUUUUGUAUACAGUAUGUGUGUGCAUGUAGGGAUGUAUUUGUAUGUACUGUUGCCAUUGGAAUGCGGUGGUGUGCUUGUGUUUAGUGUUUACGUUUGAAUGCAGGGGGGUAUUUGUAAGUAGUAUUGGUUUUUAAAUGCAGGUGUACAUUUCUGUAUAGUAUUGGUGUUUGAAUGAAGGGAUAUAUUUGUAUGUAAUGUUUGUGUGUUGUGUUUGCAUGUUAUAUUGAUGAUUGAUUGAUGGGAUGUAUGUACAUACACAUAUACUUACACAAAUAUACAUAAAUAGGCCUCUUCUUCCUCCUGCGGCUCUUGUUGUAUCUGGGAGGAAGUGACAGGCUCUUGCUUCCUGCCAGCUUUGGUGAUAUUAGUGGGGCUUGGCCUCACUGUUAAGGGCUGCGGUGCAUGACCCUCUUCAGCAAUACUUAUCGGGUUGCCCUAAGUAAAUGGUGCCGGUGCCACCACACAGGCGGUAGCCCUGCCGCUGAUCAACCAGAUCACUUCAUCUCAUUUUAACCCUUCUUCCUGCCAGCCAGUAGAGACACUUCCACCUCCAGAACCGAGACAAACACUGUCCUGCAACCAAAUGCUAUUCAUAACAGUCUUUGAUUGGAGGAGCGUGGCACUUGGCAGCGCAUGCGUAUCUCAUCCACCUUGGAUUGUACAAGAUAGUGGAAUACACUACUAGACAUGCUGACAUCUUCAGAGGCAACACGGCAGCUGCAGCAAAGGAGUCUUGGUGCUGCAAAUGAGGGGAGCAAUUUGUAUUUAACUUUAUUUUUUUAUCAGCAAAGAGUGGUGGACAGUGGUCACAGUGAUAGACGAUUUAUCACAAAAGAGAAGACUUUAUCACCAAGUAAUACAUUUCGCUCAAAAUGUUGUUGGCCUUUCAUUACCAAGUCAUAUUACUAUACUUCAUAUGGGCUUUUUGAAUAUUACUGUGUGAUGCUAAACACAGAACGCCUGCACUACUUGCUGACACGGCCAGGGGUCCUCUAGUACAGAAAAAGAACACGAUAAGAGUUUGAAAAGGGAAGUCUAAAAAUAUAACUUAUUAGUGUGUAGCUUCCAAGGAUAGUUAAUAAGAAUUGUCCUUAGUUGCUCAUCAUCUUUAAAAGUUUAUUACUAGUAUAAUACUCAUUAAAAGUUUUGCACAGCCGUUACCCUGCAGCUAUGGAGAGCUGCCUACACAUGCAUAAAACAAGUACUUUCAAAAUGAGUUAAUAAAAUAUCUAAUACAACAUCGAUGUUAGACAUUAUGAAACCAUCAUCAUUUUUCUAUGGGCAAGCGGGUCCAAAACUUUCCAAAUCCAAGGGAUAAUACUUUGCCUUGGCAGUCGGUCAGUGAAUGCUAAACAUAUACUAAAUUUGGAAGAAAAUCUAAAAAGCAAUUCAUGAUUUGAAGGUCAACAAUAGAACAAGAAUGAAUUCAGAACUCCAAAUUCAUGCCUUUAAUGUUAUUGGUGUUUACAAGGACAGGAACCCGACAAGACAUCAACUUGUAACAUUCAACCAUAGACUUGAUGGUACAUGUCUCCUGGGACGACUUCUUUUGCGUUGGGUUACCAGACCCCCUAGACCAUAUCAAAGCAUAGUCCUGUGCCACUCAGGGAUUUCUUAAGCCAAGAGUGCUUCCUCAGUAACACAUUAGCUACAUGUCUCUUUUUGUUGUGAAUCAGGACAACUGAAUGAAACUUUUUAAGGCACAGAACUAAAAUUAAAUCCUCACGAGCUAAGCAAGGGAGCAGACGUGCUGCUGUGGAGCUCUGGCAAACCACACGGCUAUAAGGAGUAAAUUGCCAUGGAGAUUCACCAAAUUUCACACAAACUACAAGCCUGCAUAAUUCAGAACCCCCCUAGAGAGAAAUGGGAUGCAAAAAUCGCAAGCUGACUCACUCGGGGAGCGCUAAACAGCCAGACAUCCGAGUGUCCUUUGAAAGGCCACAACAGCCCAAGAUGGUGGCCACAAGGUCUCAAGACACUAGUUACUGAGACGAGUCUCUGGAAGAUGACAACUUCGCGCCAGCAAGAGCCCUGAGCAGUGUACGUGGUAGCGAGGAAUCAGACUCCGACACCUCAUCUUCCACCAAAGGCGAUAUCAAAAAACUGUUAGUGGAUUAGAGAGAAGUAUGGAAGGCCAACCUGGCUGGCAUAUGCACCGAAGUCAACGGCCUCACUGCAAGGGUAAAUGCAGCAGAAUCCAGAGAAGGAAAGAGGGAGCAAGAGCUCACAGAAACUCAAGCCCAAAUAGAGACAAUAACACAGCAAAUCCAGAGGCUCACACGUGCAGUCACUUCAUUGGAAGCACGACACUGCAAGAAAAACGUGGGAUACCCGAAAGAGUGGGCACAGAGACUAUCCUAGAUUUUGCUAACAAAGUGGCAACAGCACUGGGAGUGCGGACCGCAGCGGGAGCCGUGCCAGUUACAUCUGCGUUCCGAAUACGAAAAAGCCCUGACGACCCCACGGAUGCGCCCAGGGAUGUCAUCGCGGUCACCAGGGACAUCUCAAUCAAAUCUGCAAUCCUAGCCAGAUCGAGGAGUACCCCAGACAUCAGGGUAGAUGGCUGCCCAGUCCAGAUACAUGACGACCUGCCAUUCAAUGUCCUUUUAGAGAGGCGGAAAUUCAUGCCCGUAACGAAAGAACGUGACAAUUGGAUCCGUUACAGAUGAGAUGCUUUGAGCACCCUGGUGGUGCAACGGAGAGACACCAUCCUGACCCUCUCAGCACAGGAAGACCCAGCCGGGUUCCUAAACACACUUCAAUUGCCGCGGUAGGCCCACUCUGCAACAACCGCAGAAAUAACCACAGCAACUGAAGGGGCCAACCCGGCACGGAAACGGAACAACGAGGUGGGAACAAUGCGGAGAAAAUCAAGAAUGCAGAACCCACCAUAGUCCCGCUCGACAAAUGAACGGUUAGUGUUGCUAAAACCAUCCGGGACUUGCCAAAACUCGUAACAUACUCCUGCCAGUAAUGGACCCUAAUAUGCCAAAGCGGAUACUGUAGAAUACCUCCAGAUGGAACUCUGUUGCAUCGGGGACAAGACUUUCCUUUACCCUUUUUGGACUCACACUACAGGAUGCCAAUGACAUGCCAGGAUGUUGACCCAAGGGGGAGUGUUGUCGUAAUGCUAGGUUUUCUGAUUACACUGGGAGUGCACUGUGGGCUGCAGGGUGUACGGAUCGGAGACGACGGGACUAGCAGGGUAUGGGGUGCCCUUCCCUGUCAGUCACCAUGACCAGAAUAUGGGGGACCGUCAGGGGAGCCCACACCACAGUGAGGGGACAUGCCUCUCUUUUUGAUAACUAGCCUGGCCUUAACCUCCAACUUUCUGCCACAAUUGGUACAUGACAAGUCCCAUUGGUGACUGCGCCAUGCCCGAGAAAUUUAAUAUCCCGAUCACACAAUCAAGGAACCGAGAAUCCCUUUGACUAGACUACACUAAACUAACACGACAGAGCCUGGACCAAAUUGAACCAAGCCAACAGCCUGUACACUCACCGACAGGUCCAACACGAGAAGAGCUUACUGAUUCUCUCUACAAACAGUGCUGUGCCCACCCAAACAGACACCCCGUAAGCGUUAACCUGCCAAAAUACCCAUGAUUGUAUAUAGAAUACCAUCAUACUCUGAAACCUCACCGACAGAUAAUUUAGUCACCUACUUCAAUUUAAAAGUUUACCACCGACAAUCAACAAAACAGGGUCCCCGUAACCAAUUUGUCUUAUUGCCUCUAAGUUUAGAGUGAUACCAUACACUUACAUAGAACGUUUACUCUUUAUGCCAUGUCAUGUUUGUCACACCUGUCAAAGUUAUGCUUGCAACAGCUGUUGUGGCUGAGCAAGCCCAUUGUUAUUUUGUGCACAAUUAAAAUCAAAAUAAAGAAUUGAAAAAAAAAAAAAAUUAAAUCCUCACACCUUUCUUUUUGAUCUGUCCCCUCCAAUAAUAUGAAAUAUUUCAAAAUGUGAAGCAAUUUCUAAAGCAAAAUGAGUGCUGAGAGAACUGCAUGGAUUAAAAAGGUCAUCUAAUCUCAGAAAGCAGCCGUUGCUAUUUUCAAGUUAUUACAAGGAUAGGAUGAGAACAUUUAAUAUUGUGACUUCUGAGUUUAUAUACAGAAUAUACAAUAUUGAAUUUGGUUAAUUCACCAAACUAGGAAUUGUGUAUAAUUGACUAGAACAUUUUGGAGUCCUUUGGACUUUUUUCCCCACAAUUUUCCACUCUAACAUACUAAAUAUUUGACACAAGGUGCAUCCUUUUGCAUUUGUUUUUUUUUAACGUACAGUAUUAGUAGUAUUAAUUUGACAAGUGUAUAUAUUAAGUUGCUCAUACAGAAGCAAGACCUAUCAGUCUGUAUAAAGUGAUUCUUAUCGCCUUGGUCGGAACCCAAUGUUGGUUCUCCAUGCUAGUUUAACAGAUCCCCAGGAAGACCCAUUGACUCUGGCAUCCAAUUGCGAUGUUUUGCAGAGUUUGUUAAUAUUGUAGGAUUACUGCGUAAAUUGAAUUAUAGGUCACUAAACAAAUCCUGUAUAUGUAAAUUGGGUCAUCGAUAAAAAAAUGUUAAGCACUGCUGUAUACAAAAUUUCACAUUGAGAAAACACAAAGAAAAUAUAUUGUAUAAAAUCACAUAUAAAAUUACUAUAAAAUUACUUCAAUCAGGUUUUUUACUAGAUAUUAGCAGGUCCUCUGCAUUGAGAAUGGACAUAAGUAUGAUAUAAAAAGCUGGUUAAGAGACCUAAUCAUGUGAAGCAUUAGCAUAAAUUGACUUGAGAAAUAAUUUGUGAGAUUUCUACAGACCUCAGACCAAACUUUAACUAUAGAAUUAAUCAUAAAAUCAGGUACAAUUUUAGCAAUAAAAGGGUUAUUGUAAAAGGUGUUACAGAGGUUAAAUACCACGCAGCAUCAGUAUGCCCACGAUGUACAGGUCUUGAGGGACAUCUUGGAGGGAACAACCAAAUACAAUGUAAUACUAUGUAACGAGCCCAGUUUCAUGGUAAAGUAUCGAUGAGGAAGAUGACAUGUCUGUAGAAUGUAAAAGCUAUAGAGUAGAGCGCCAAAGUACGAUGCAUAAAAGACAAACAGGUCAAGUACAGAUAAGUUACAAGAAGUGAUAUUUUCUUAUUCGGGAGCUAAAAAAGGUUUCCCUAUAACUGAAAGCUGUUUAGAUCAGAGACCCCAAGUGGCCAACUGAAAGGACAAAUGCCAUUUGUACAAGCCGUAAAUAAUUACAUUCAAGCAAGUUAAUUUCUGCAGAAAAGGAUUAUUACCAUUCCUACUUGAUGAAAGUCAAAAUGUGAGAUCAAUUCUAGAAAAAUCUCUACAAAGAAAUGCAUUUGUACCCAAUAGAAUGUAUUUAUGACUCGAGGCUCGUAGACUAAAGACAGUCCUGGCCUUGUGCCAGUGGAACAGUGCUAGGUCUGUUCGGGGCUUAACCCUCAAAAUUUGUACAAUAAAAAACAAAGGAAGAUUCUGUUCCCACAGAAGAUUCCUACCUAGUGGAUUUAUACAAUAUAACACAGUAUCAAGGCUACAGAGUAAAUAUUUAAAAAAAAAAUUAACCCACACCCAAAUGUGCACAAAAACUAGCUGUUCCUACUUCAGCAAACCAAUGAUAAACACAAUGUGCAACUUAUAGUCAGAUGGAGUACCUCAAAAUGGCCUUUUCUGUUCUCUGAAUUAGAGUGUAUAGAAAAUGCAAGAGCAGAUACAUUGCUUGUGAAGACCAAAAAACAGUGUAUAAUUUAAAGGACCACUAUAGGCACCCAGACCACUUCAGCUUAAUGAAGUGGUCUCGGUGCCAGGUCCAGCUAGGGUUAACCCUUUUUUUAUAAACAUAGCAGUUUCAGAGAAACUGCUAUGUUUAUAAAUAGGUUAAUCCAGCCUCUAGUGGCUGUCUCAUUGACAGCCGCUAGAGGUGCUUGCAUGCUUCUUACUGUGAAAAUCACAGUGAGAAGACGCAAGCGUCCAUAGGAAAGCAUUGUGAAUGAGGAGGAGAGGAGGCGGAGAGGAGGUGGAGAGCUCCCUGCCCGGCGCUGGAGAAAGAGGUAAGUUUAACCCCUUCCUCUCCCCAGAGCCCAGCGGGAGGGGGUCCCUGAGGGUGGGGGCAUCCUCAGAGCACUAUAGUGCCAGGAAAACGAGUAUGUUUUCCUGGCACUAUAGUGGUCCUUUAAACUCAUGCUGCUGGCCAUAUCUGCUUUAAGCUCUUGCUAUUAACCGCAACCGGUAACUCGCAGCAGCAGCUGCUAAUUACCAAGUAGUUUCCAACAUUGUCACAUUUCUUUUCCACCGGCUCACUGCAUAUAAUAUCUUCCUGUAAAGAUACCGACCACCUGCCAAAUAGCCACUUGAUGGUAACGGAGGGUAGGGGAUUUCCCGCCCCAUGAGACAGGUGGCAGGGGGGAACACACUGCACCCCCUCCUGCCUGAGCAGUGACCUGCCUACCGGCACCUUGCUUGCCUAGGAGUCACAUUGCACAGGGCAUCAAUGGAGCUGCUGGCAUCACACUGUACUGUAUUCCCAGCUCCCUCGAGCGCCAUGUUCUGUUGAUGGAACCAGGAUAUGACAUCAUCCCAGCCCCAACAGUACAGAGAUGGAUCCCAGCAUCACCUCCAACUAGACCUCAGAAAUGAGCUGCCACUCCAGCUCUCCGUGUCAAGGUUAGAACAUGGAGGCUAAGUGGACCUCAGUGUUACAAUAAAGAAAAUACUUUUUUAAAAUUCGUUUUUUUUAAAAAAAAAAAGUAAUUGUGUGUACUAAAGGAAUCAGGAGUGUGUAUAUGAAUGUGUGUGUGCACAUGUGUGUGUGUAUGAAUGUCUGUUUUUGUACAUGAAUAUGUGUAUGGGUCAGUGUGUGUAGGAGUCUGUGUGUGUACAGACUCCUAUACAAUAAAGCGCUGAUUAAUAUUUUAUUUCUUCCAGCUGAACAGUGGAUAAAUAUUUAAGAUUUUAUAUGUGAAUCACUAUUUCUGUGACUAAAGAAAUUGCUUCCUGACCACUGAUGAGGUCUUAACCGUAGGGUUUCAUAAAAAACCCAGACAUUCUCAUGCAAAGCACAUUUUGUUAGGGACUGCACCCAGGAAAUGUUAUUUUAUAUCUAAAAGAUGAACAUAUAUUGAUUACAUAAUCACAGCGAUGAUUCUUUUUUUUCUCCUUCAAUCAAGCAAAUAAAAAUGUAAGAAAAUGUACUUUUCUGAGUAAAGAAUCAAACUAUCUAAAAAAAAAUAUAGACAUGAGAUACAGAAUAAUGUGUUCUAGUGUUGCAAAGGUUUACAGACACGUGAGAUUGUCAAGACCUUAUCAAUGAGAUAUUGGGCUGAACAAAAUGGAUUUGAAAGUGUGUAUAGGACCUAAAAGCGUGACUUUGGGGAUAUUUUUGUUCUGCGUACAUCUUUUGCACAUCAGUUUGUGCUGAUCAUUUUUCUUAGAAAUUAUUACGACAAAUUGUUAUGUAAGAGUUAUCUUCUUUUUUUUUUUGUAAAGAUGCAAUCCUUUAUAAAACUUUGUGGGCGUCAGUGGAAACAUGUAACAUCAAAGAGACACAUUGUCUUUGUAAUUAUAUUCUAAGGUCAUAUUAGCAUAUAAGUGAUUGCCGUGUGCAUGACUUGUGCCCCGUACUACACAAUGCAGUGUAUCUACUGGAAAUAGAAUGAGAAUUUUGCUCUAAAGCGAAGGCCUAUGUUGGCUAGUGAAUUUUGGAAGGACAAGCCCUCCUGUUUAAAUCACAUGACUCCUGCUCAUCUCUAUUCCUUAACCAUCCCAUAAGCAACUCUUAUAGCUCAAUAAAAUUAUAUUCUAGGGCAAUUAUUCUGUAAUUUUGAAAUGCACGAGUUUAUUUGCAAUGAGUAAAGCUUAGAAUUGGGAUUCAUAACAGCCACAGAGAGACUUAUUCUUUUAAAUAGGGGAGCAGUCUAAUUGGGCUUUAAAUUGGCUAGUGAAGUAAUUGCUGCCUUCGUACUGUCUAUUAAAUCCAAUGCAGUGCCAUAUAUUUUAGUUAAUCCUCUUUAGGCUCACAAAGCCUGAUACUUUGCAUUCUGUGUAUCAUAAUCAUUGAGUCUCUUAUUACAAUUGCCUAUGGUGUACUCUGUCUUUCUGAUACUCUUAUGAGAUCUUAGCAAUGUUUCCAAUUAGUGAACAGUUAUGCAACUGUGGUUCUCUUGCUUAAUGAAACAUAUUUACUAGUCUCCAAUGCUUGCUGAUUUCACGGUGCUGCAUGAGAAAGUAUGUAUUUACCAGUGCUGGCACGUUACAGAAGUGUUAACAUGCACUCGUGUUGGUUGUUUCCCAUAAUCUUUCAUGGGCCCCAGACUGAUCAAGAAUUAUGGGAGUUGGGAUUCAAUAACAUGAUCGCAAUGCUCUCAUGGCAUUUGAAGAAAUGUAGAUUUAAUUAUUUUCUAAUUUUCUUUUUCUCUCUACUACUCGGAAAACUGAUCAAGGAUUCUUCAGCCACUAAGGUUGUUGCCCCCUCAAUUAGAGGCUGGGGAGGGCUGGACACUUGUGGACUGGGGGUCAACUACAAACAGCCCGAUAAACACUAAUCAGUACAUGGUCCCAUCACACUCCAACCCUUACCUUAAUAUUAUAUAAAAUGGCUUAUGCGACUAUUGCAAGAUAGAAUAUUACAAUCAUAUAACAUAUUAGUAUUGCACUGUGAGGUAGAUCUAUUGAUGGCGAGAAAAAUCAGUUGUGUCUGUUAGUGAGUGUAUGUCAGUGAGUGUCUGUCAGUGUGUGUCUGUCAGUAUGUGUCUGUCAGUAUGUGUCUGUCAGUAUGUGUCUGUCAGUAUGUGUCUAUCAGUAUGUGUGGGUGCUCGAUCGUGUGGCUGCUCGUCUAUGCUAGUCUUAUUAUAAAUUAAAUUCACCAAAUGCAUUUAAUACAUCAUUUAUCACAGUGAUAAAUUAGGUAUUCAAUGUACAAUGUAUUGUAUUAGGCAGUAUGUGUGUAUGGAUGUAGGUAUUAGGCAGUGUGUAUUUAUGGAUGUAUGUAUUAGGCAGUGUGUGUGUAUGGAUGUAGGUAUUAGGCAGUGUGUGUGUAUGGAUGUAGGUAUUAGGCAGUGUGUGUGUAUGGAUGUAGGUAUUAGGCAGUGUGUGUGUAUGAAUGUAGGUAUUAGGCAGUGUGUGUGUAUGAAUGUAGGUAUUAGGCAGUGUGUGUGUGUAUGAAUGUAGGUAUUAGGCAUUAUGUGUGUAUGGAUGUAGGUAUUAGGCAGUAUGUGUGUAUGGAUGUAGG
Molecule: long non-coding RNA, 87559 nt
Filed under: Pelobates cultripes (western spadefoot toad)
Lineage: Eukaryota; Metazoa; Chordata; Amphibia; Anura; Pelobatidae
Source: RNAcentral